AAAAAAAAAAAAGUAAUUUUCAUAUAAGGCGAGAACGAAUGUAGUUUUUCUGACCUGUGUCGUAGCCUGUAGGCGCUGCGUCGCAUAUUUAAAUAUGAAUUGGCAAGCUCAAAUUCCAAGAUCAAAACUUGGGAAUGCAUGCAUUUCUCUUUCGUAUGUAAUCUCUUCGCAGAUUUUCCCUUCGUCGUCGUUGACAAGGCUACAAGCAGUAGAGUCACUUCUCCUAGGAAUUGAAUUUCUGAGAGAAAUACUUUCGGCCUCCACAUGGUCUGACCGAAGAAGCUAAGCAAACAUUUUGGAAAGGAAUAAAACCAGAGCCAAGACAUGAGAAACUUACUAAAGAUCUUAUAUGGCAAUCAUCUAACGUACAUUCGAUGUACACGAAAGAGAAAUUUAACCACCUUGCUGGACUGUCCGAAUUCACCAUCUUCUGUCAAUGUUUCGGCAUUACCAGUGAAUGUUGCUGCAGGAUCAAGGUAUACACAAAUCCGUGAUUAGGCUCGACAAUGUCAUAGUAAAAUUACAAAAUUUAGACUUAAACUGAACUGCAUUUGCACGAGAUCACAUUGAGUUAGAGCAAUGGAUUGGCUGUUUUCUGUAUUCUUAAUUGAUUCCCUCGUGUUCUGUCCUUCACUUGGUUUUUGAUGAGAUUGGUAAUCUUUAGGAAGAUGCAAUGCCUCCGCAAGGGAAGGUUUAGGGUUACGUGACGAAACAGAUACGCUAAUAUUUUCAUCUGUAUGACCGGAAGAAAGGUUCACUCUACCCCUUGGUCUUUGAAGAAUGGACAAUAUUUGAUGGGCUUCAUGAUAUAAAACAAAAAAAUAUUUAGUUAAAAGGGAACCAAGCAAAAACCAGUAAUGAGUUCAGACAGAAUUCAUAAAGUAAGCAUUCGCAAACCAUCCCGUAAAGACUUUUGCGUAGUCUCCCUGCCCGAUCCAUUUUCAUCUCCACCAGAAAUGCAAAAACUUGCGUCCUUUCUAAUAUCACAUUUUCUGUCGCCGAGCUCUACUGAAUUUGACCAAAGGUUGCAUAGCAAGCCAGAAAGAUUAUUAGAUAGAUAUACAAACAUUGGUUUAGAAACUAUGUGUUACAUAAGCAUUGGACCUUUGACACUUUCGCAUGCCUCGCCAAUCUCCACCAAGUAUUUUGGUAGCUCAAGUUUCUCCCCCACCCUCACAUUUUUAGAUAAACUUAAGUGUUUACGGCUUAAUAUGUUUCUAUCUUCAUUCAGUAAAGUAACCUGAAAUAAUUGUAAGAGUUAGUCUCAUAAAAAAGAUAACAAGAAACCCUUGCAACUCAUCAGAUUUAUUUUUAUAAAAAAACUGUAGAUCGGGUUUAGGGUAUCCUAUCCUAAAUUUUCCACCUUUCUUGUACAUCGGCUAUACAAUCUAAAUUUGCAUUCAUAGUAAUCGAACAACUGUAGAACUUUAUAAUGAACAGCAUGCCCCAGAAGUGAUCAAUUAAUUGAUAGCAGCUGAAAUUUUGGGUACACUACCUAUUGUUAGAGUAAGACAUCAGUACUUCUGAUGUUCUUUUUUAACAAUCUACGUUGUACCUUUAGGCAAGUAUCCAUUUGUAUCCAUCGGAUCAAAAUUUCUGUUUGGCUUAUGUAAACAGUUCAAUUGAAACAUGAAACUCAUAUUGUGUACUAAAACUUAGAUUCGAGGGGGAAGGGAGUGACCCAAUAGUAAUGUCGUACAACUGAAAAACAGAAAGCAGUUAAUAUGGUGUUCAAUGCAAAGUAAAUUAACCUGCAUUUGGUGAGAACCAGAUGAGGAAAUUUUGAUGAUCCCAUUAUGAUAUUUCUUGGACUUCUGAGUUAUCUGACUAGUGUACAAAACAUUCCAUUCUGCACUAAAACACUAAACAUGUCUAAGUAGAAGCACAACGAGAGAAAUACAGACUUCAUGAUACUUUAUGGCCGAAUGAGCAAAAAGAUGAACGAUGCUGAAAUUUCAUCUACAAUCAUUAUGUGACAGAAAUUAAUGUAGCAAAAACAGCUGACCUUUUCCAGUUGAUAUUUCAUUUUCACUGAAACAGCUUUUCUGUCCAUGGAGUACGCUUGCUCCCCCUUCUUUAGAACUAGUACCUUCAUUUAAGGGAAUUUUAGAAGGCUUAUGGUCCUUUUCACAUUCUCCAAUUUCUACUAAAUGAGCAUCAAAGGCUAUUGAUUCUCCAGAUUUUACUGUUUCGUGCUUCUUAAUAAAUCUGCUGUCCAAUAGUUUCCUGUUUUCAUCAAAGAGCAUGACCUGCAGAAAGAAAGACCGAGAGAGGUACGGCAGAAACUUUACUUUUCAAUUGAAUAUUUUCUAAGGGUAAGAAACUGCUUUGAGAAACGUAUGGACUGCAGGGGCAUACAAAAGAAUAAGGGAGUCCGACUAAGUGUGUAGAAGGAUUCCAGUCUAAAAGAACAAAACUAAAAUCAUAACUACAAAAGGUAGAGACGGAUUCCCACAAAGACACAUUAAACACGACCACCUCCCAAACCUCACUGAUAUCUUGACUUCCCGUCGAAUAUUACUGUUCCUCUCAAACUCUUGGCCUACCUUUCAAUUGAUUAUUGAUCAACAGUUCAUCGUGAUGACAUAUACCCCCACAAAAAGCUCUAAUAUAUAAAAGUCACAAAUUUAAUAGUUAACAAAUAACCAAGAAGUAUGGUAGGCCUAAUAAACCAGAUAAUUUAAGCAAACAACCGAGAAGUUAACCUGACUCCCGAGGGAUCCACAAAUAGAAAGUUUUAAGAAACCGUCGUGGAACUUCUUAGCUUUCUGAGUAAUAUUUGUGGUGUAAAGGACCUGCCACUCUACAAAUAUCAUAAGAUUAAUCAUGUGAGGAUAGGGACGGGAUAAAAUAAAUUGGUUAGAUAACAAAUUUGACUCUUUGAGGAAUGUAAAUAUGCUUUAAAAAACAUAUUAGGGGCAGUAGUUGAUUUUAUUAACUGUUGUUAAUUAAUUUAUUUUGUCAGACGUACAUAAUGAACUGACGUAUCCAACAUACAGGGUACUUUCACAUAUUUCAAUUACAAUGUUUUCUCGAGACAGCAGGACUCAUAUUAAUCGCCAUUACGCUCUACUUCUAUGGCAUAUUUUCCUCCUUCGCUAAUUAAAAAGAUCGUGACGAUUUAACAAACCAGGAAAAAAAUCGUGGACUAACCUGUCUCUUCUGUCUUUCUAGUGUCUAGACUAGUUUGUGGCGAUCCGUAGCACUUCAAUCUUCUCUUCUUAAAUUCUGGGGUGUAAAGGGAAUGACAAUGUUACAACCGAAUCUAAAGUACAUUGGUACAAGCAUGAUGAGAAUAAAUGGUAAUCACCAGUAAGAUUACAUCUACAGCCCAAGUUAUGAUUCGAACUGCUUUAAACAAGCAAUUGGAAGAACGAUAUAAUAACAGAAAUGGUGCAUUAGCCAAAUAAUGGAAGUUACCUCUGAUUAUUUGUUGUGAAGGGCUGAAACUCGGCCGAGUUUUAUUCUUCUCUGCACCUGCUUUGUUUUUGAAGUAACAAACAAGAGAAUAAUACAUCAUAAUCCAAUCAGUAAGAGAAUUGAACUUAAUCCCCUGCUCAUUAAUGAUGGAAAUUUCAAAAAAAAAAAAACGAAGGAAGAAAAACUAGGCUAAUUACCAGAGCAAACUGAGUUAUUUAGGAUACUUUUCCCUCGGACCACACCAGAAUUUUCAGAUAUCUUAUCAUCACCUUCUUGGAAAUUCAGACCAGACUCCGGCUUCUGAUCUCCUAGUGGAGUGUCAAUGUCAACUAGAAAACUGUUGAAUAUAAGCGUUUCGCCAGAGCAAAUUACUUCAUCUUGCUUUAACAUUCUACAUUCGAGGAGCUUCUCGCACUCAUCAUAGAGCAUUGUCUGUGAGUCAAUCUAGCCAUUAGAACAAAUCCACUAGGCUAACAAUUAAAAUGAGAAACAUAAAUUUGGAAGAAUCAACCAAAUCAGCACAAUGUUAUCCCAAAUCAAAAUCAAAACCACACAAACCAACUAUCGAAUCACAUCUCAACAAUUCUAAAGCUCUAAAUCCAAUUCUAGGAUUCAUCGCCACUAAUGCUAGUUAAUGCCAUACUUUCCUGUCCAAAAUCGCCGAAAUUCGACACGUUCUUCUGCAGAAUUACAUAUCUACAAGUCCAAUAAAAAGAUGUGUAGUGAAGUAAAAGCGUGAAUGAAAUAGAAACCUUGUUGCUGGAACGGUGGAUGUCUAAGAAACCAUCGUGAUAAACUUUGCGCUUCUGCUUAAGGUGCUUCGUAUAGGUCACCUUCCAUCGAUUCGUUAUUUCUCCCAUUGCCUGUGCUUCUUCUUCUCUCUCAACCUCCUCACAGAUCAAAUCAGAUCAAACUCACUGAGAUCGUCUCUUGCAAUUGCAGCGAAUAGAGUUGAAUUUCGUCGAGGAAUUCCUUGUGGCGGGAAAUUAUCCGUCCGACGAAAAUGACCUCCCCGCCCGCCCGCUGAUUUCAAGUAAAAAAAAAUCGAAACCUCCUUUUUUUUUAAUCUAAAAAAUUUAUAUCUCACAAUAAUAAUUCGGUAAAUUUAAAUUAAAGUUAUUUCUUGAUAUAACUAAAUAAAUCAAAAUAUAAAUAUAUAACUAAAAUAAAUUGUAAUAGAUCAAAAUAUAAAUAUAUAACUAAAAUAAAUUGUAAUAGAUCAAAAAUAUAAGUAUAUAACUAAAAUAAAUUGUAAUAGAUUAAGAUAGAUAGACUAUUAUAUAUGUCUAUUUGUAUUAUCAUAUGUUAGUAAUUUAUCUCAAUUGUGAUAUUUUCUUGUAUGUGUAAAAAAAAAUAUAACUUUUUGUUCUUUUAAAUGUUUGUUUUUUAUUAUGAACAACAAAGGAUACACUUUAACACUCUUGAGCAAAUUUCAUUCAACAAAUAUUAUGAAAACACAACAGUUUGAUUAAUGUUAAGUCAUAAAUUGAACUUUUAAGUGAAGAGAGAUUGCAACGUUUUAAAAUUCCAACUAAGUAUAACAAAAUAUGUUCUAAUAAAGCUAACAAAAAAUGUGAAAAAAUACAAUUAUACUUUUAACUUUAAGAGUUAUAUCAUAUAUGGGACACCCAAUAAUAUUACAUGGGAUUUUUUAUGCAUACAAAAAUAACCCAAAACUAAUCAACAAUAUAUUCAUCUAAAAAAGUUAGAAAUAUAUAAUUAUUUUGAUCAUUCAUAAUGUAGUACUCUUUCUUCUAAUAUGUGAUUGGAGUGCACAUGUGAUUUCAUUUAUUAAUAGAGAGUUAUGAUAGAAAGCCUAAUCACUCAGGCUUGGUUGAUUUUUACUUCACCAAAAUUAAUUAUGGGUUUAUCACAAUCGUUUUCAAUAGUAUUGGAUUAUUUAAGUUUUGUACUUUUUUUAGCAAGCUCAUAAGCUGGGGUUUCAACGGCUAUCUAUUGCAUUAUUUGAUAUCUUAAAUUAUAUUUCUAAUAGAUCAUCCACGAUAGAUAACGAUUAUGUUAUUUGAUAAUUUUGUGAUUCACUAUCAAAUUAAUCCCUUUUAUAUAUAUAUAUUAAAUUAAUGACAUGUGUGUUCAUGCAGAAUUGUAAUUUUGCGGUUUCUUCGAAAACCUCGAUGCAGAAUCAUAGGUUCCUCAAUAAUCAGUUACAUCCGAUCUUUUCAUAAUUCAUCAUUCAACAAUUAAUGACACGUAGUUCUUAAUUAGUUGAGAGUUACAAUUUUAUAAACAUGGCUUAUCUAAAUAAAUUAAUAAGACCGAGAUUAUCGAUAAUGAUCAAUACAAAUCUAAUGAGAUAACACAUAGGGAGGCAGCCUAAGUCAACAAAAUAUAGAUGAGAGAUAAAGUUGGUAAGAUAGUGAUAGUUUGCACAGUCCCAACAAAGACUUGUAUGGUUACAACAUUAAUGUAUAAAGAAUUUAAAGAGCUAUUCAUGAAUUGAUGGGUUAAGAAUAUAACUUCCAUCAUAUUUUACGCAACAACACCUAAAAUGCAAUUUUUUUCUUGGGUCUAGUUUAUGUAUCUCUCUUAAUAAAGACGACAACAUACAACUCAAAGAAUCUAAUUACAAUCAAAGUCAUAGCCCCCUCUGAGGAUAUAAACAACAAUGGAAGGAAAAUAUUUAUCUCCAAAACUUAAAAAACGAAGGUCACUAGAAGAAGAAGAAGACGCCAAAGUUGUUUGAUCAUGAAAAUGUUGUUCUCAAACCUUUGAUUCCUCCACAUAAUAUUAAGAGUUCAAAUUCAACUAUUGAUAAUUUAGGGUUAGUUAAUACAAGAAUUUUCUUUUGUCUCAAACAGAGUAUAGGUAUGAAGGUUAAUCAAUUUUAUUUUUAAUUUAAAAUUUUGUAUAUAUAUGAUAUGGAAGUGUUCUUUGAGGUUUUUAAAAGAUGAAAAAUAAUUCAACCAAUGGUGACACCUACUGCCCUUUUUGAGACCCCUUUGAAAUCUAGCUAACUUCAAAACAAAUUAAACCAUUCCUAAAGACUUUUGUUUUGCAAAGAUAUUUUACCCUAAAACACACAAAGUUCAACCAUUUUGUUUCCUGAUAAAACAGUAGCAGUUUUCAAAUUUUCUUUAAGAGUGACAAACUAUCCACAAGCAACCCCCAAAUCCAUACACUAACUUCCGUGAUAACUUGUGGAUAAAUAAGUAAAAAGUCAUAAUCUAUACACUAUAACUCUAUGAGAAUCUUUAGAAAAGAUAUGAUAAAUCUUAGGUUUGAUGUAAUAUAUAUUUCUCGUGUUAGGUAAAAUUGUGAUAAAGACAUAAACAUGAAUGAAUUAAGAAAUUUGCACUAUAAAAAAUUACAUUAUUUUAAUUGCCAUUUUAAUUUCUAGAAAUUUGUUAUAUUAAAAUAAAAUUAUUUAUUUUCCAUUCACCACACAUAUGUUAUGGGAUAAUAAUUUCAAAUUUGAACACUUAAAAAUUCCAAGAAUAUACUGAGAGAAAAUCAUCCAAAAUGUAGAUCAAAAUGCCUUUUAUUUUUCCCUCUCUUUUCUUGUCAAGGAAAAAAAAAGACCCCCAAAAGAAAGAAAAAAGAAAAAAGAAAAAAAACCCAAACCCAAACCACAAUUAUUAUCAUUACUUUUUUGCUUAAGUAAAAUAAUAAUAACAAUUAGGUUUAUUCAUGAAAAAGAAAAACCAUAUAAUUCCAAAAUCUCUUCUUUUUUUAAAUAAUGAAUUGGGUUUUUACGCAUCCAACUCAUCCAAGCCGGCGCCGUCCGUCGGGCGAUCAGGCCUUCCGGGUUGCCGUCGUGUCAGAAAUAGGGGUGGUUGAAGCUCCGCCAUUAGCAGUCUUUUCCGGUAGAGAGACGGCGCUGUUGACGACGACUUCAGAGAGAUGAAUUUGGGCUUUUCGUUCGGCGAUUUGGCGUUGAGUUGAUUUGUAAAAGGUGGCGUAGAGAAUAAGCUGAACGAGGGCCGACAAUGUCCCGAGGCCGUUGGGGACCUGAAAAUACGCCAUUAAUGUAAUUUUGAGGUCAGUAGUUUUUUUGGGCAGAAACCAUGGCGGAUUUAAGUGAAAGAAAAGAGAAUUUAUUAUUUCUCAAUAAUUCUCUUUCAACAUAAUUUGUUAAAUUUUCGUCCGAGUACGUUGAAUUUUAGUCUUUCAACCUGAAUUUUUUUGAAACUGAUUAAACAAAAAAAAUAAAAUUUAAGAUGUUAUUCAAAAUAAAGAGACUUUAAUUUUUGGACAAUUAAUUUUAUAUUUAGUCAAUUGAAGUUGAAGUUAUUCCUUUUUUUAUCGAAACUUAUUAUACAACUCAAAUAAUUUUCAUGCAAACAUUAAAUAUGUGAUUUUAAAAUAUUAUACUGAAAAUAUUAAUAAAUAAAUAAAGAUAGAAAGAUUAAAAUGAACAAAGUACUUUGGAAGAUGAUAGUGUGAAUUUUUUUUUUUUUUUUGCUUACCGUGAUGAAGGGGUCGAAACGGAUGCAAGCAUAAGCAGUCCAAACGAUACCGUUUGCUAAUGAAGCAAAGGAUAGAAAAAAUGGCAUAUAUUCCACACUUUUUGUCUUAAUCACCAGUUUCUGCAUCACACAAUUUAACGCAUUAUUUUAAUUCAGUAAUUUAGUAAAAUAAAAUUAUAAAUUAAGAACCCUCCACUGCAAAAAAAAUUAAAAAAAAACACAUGUCGAUUAUUUUAAAUAAUCAAUCAUCCAAUCAUUAAUAAUUUGAAUUGAAACUUGAUAUUCAAACAUUCAAUAUUCAUUUAUGAAGAUUCAUUAGACAAUAAAUUAUUGACCCACUAGAUAUUCAUUUUAAAUCUCAGCUUAAUAUUCGAGAUAGCAAAGGGGAGAGGACAUUAUACUAACCAUGACGGUCAAGGGUGAAGCAUACAUCAUGAUGUUAAAGAGAAUACAAACGGUCCCGACGAUAGCGGAGCGGCGAUGGUAAGUAUGAGCCAAAGUGAGAACCAAGAGGGCUAAGAGAGCUACGAAGAUGACCUCAACCAACAUCAUCAACAACACUUUCAACCGCUUCUUCUUUCCGUCGGAAUAAAUCAAGAACAAGAUAAUGUACACAAGCUCGAUGACGACACCAGUGCCAUUGAUUGUAACGACGAGUAUGCUACCUGGAUUCACCAUCGGUAGACCGUACAAUGUCCACACCAUGCAGUUUAUCAGCGUCGCCAAAUAUGGUACUGGCGAGUACUGCUCCACUGAUCCUUUCUUCCAUAUUUGAAUAAAUGUCGGUCUGCACAAAUACACAGUUCAACGAUUAAAACGUUAUCAUUGAAUUAAUUAUGAAUUAUGAUGUUUUUUAAUGCAAAUUAGUACUGAUUUUGCAAAUAAAACACUUUUGUUUUUUCUCGAAUUUUAAUGCUGAUUUUGUCUCUUAUUGGUUGGUUUUAAACUUUUUGUGUUCUCCUUGAUUUUCUCUCUUUUGCCGGUGAUAAAGCGGCAUGCAAGCAUGAAUAGAUUAUCCUUAUCACAUAUAGCAUUAAUAGCAAACAAGAUAAACUUCAACAAAUUUUUUUUUGAAAAAAUACACACAUCAUUAUUUGUAAUAAAGAAUUACUUUCAAAAAAAAAAAAGCAUUCAGGUGCUGAUUUAAUCAACACCCAAAUACCAAAUAGACAGCAAAAAUACUGCAUGAGAUUGGAAUACAGUCUAAGCUGCACCAAAUCAAGCUUCUUGAACAAUAAAAACCACGAAAAUCGGCAGUAGGUUAUAACAUGGGGCAGGGGUACUCAUGGGUCGAUCGAAAUGGAUUUAGACAAAAACCAAGACCGUCACCGAUGACUCGGUUUCAAUGGGAGGGAAUUAAAAUACUUACACUGGGGAGAGAAACAAGAAGAGAGAUAUGGCAUUUCCUGUAAAAGAAAAAAACACACAAAACUCAAAAUUUUACCCAAAAAAACAAAGAGGUGUCGUUUUAUGAAGAAAAAAAAUGAAACCCACCAAAGAUUCCAAGAAUUGUGCGAAUGGCAUCUGGAGAAACCAUAGUGAAGAAUUAAAGAAAAGAAAAUAAGGGAAUUUUGGAUAAUGUGUUUACAGGAUAAAUCAGAGAGAGAGAGGGAGGGAAGGAGAGAGAGUUAGUGUGUGUAAUAUUAUUUUGUGUGUGGGAUUGGAAAUGGGGGGAAGAGUUGUUCUAUAUAUAGAAGGAAAGGGAGUAAAAUGAGUUGUAAGCAAGAAGGGUUGGUCACUUGCAAGACAUGUACUGGGCACUGCAAUUUUCAGCCAACACAUGGAUUCAAGAGAAGGGACCCAUAAAUAAGGAGAGAGAGUGAUAAGGGGAAAGAGGUGGCCAGGCAGGCACUUUAUUCGAGAUUUUCCCAUGAAAAAUAUCUAUCAUUGUACAUGGUUAAGAAUCGCUCUAAGUUCCUAAACUUUCAUAUAUAAUUUUAUCUUUACUUAGAGAAAGAAAACUUAGUAGAAGAAGAAAUUUGGAUUUUAUAUUUUCAAAUUUGUAAUAAUUUAAUCUAUAAAAUUUUACUGUAAAAUAAUUUAACUUUUAAUUAAUCAUCUAAUUUAAUUACUAAAUUAUUACUUUUACCAAGUUUUAGUCUGUUUUAAUUUUAACUGUUAAUCUUAUCUAUUUUUUAAACCUAAUUUUACCUUUUUACAUGAAUGUUUGGUCUUAGUGAUGGUGAUGUGACAGCCAGUGAAUGGCGUAUGAAUGCUCCUCCAAUUUAUUAUAUGUUAUGUCAACUUUUAUUUUAUUUUUAGUCAAAAGUUUAUUUAUAAAGAUAAAAUUUAGUGUGAACAAUGAACUAAUACUCUCAGUAAUACCAGGAGUUUUAUCAAAAAGUACUCUAACUUAGUUAGAUGUACUAUAAAUAACUCAAUCAUUUAAGGAUAUGUCAAGUUUGUAUCAUGAAGAGCACUAUCAUUUUUUUUUUCUUUUAUGUCCUUGGUAUAUUUGAACAAGAAAAUUUACAAAACUAUUUUAGUUCCACAGUAGUAUGUUUUAAAAAAUGAAAGGCUGUUACUAAGUAAUAGUUGAAUUUUGUUGAUUUUUCUAAAAUUAAAGUGAUUUAUUUAGUAUAUUUCUUAAAUUAAAUUGUUAAAUGUGAAGAGAUUACAUUUUGGAGAUGUAUUUUAAAAGGUGUUUAUAAUUGAAAUUAGUAAAGUAUGGUAGCGGUAGUAGGAAGGAAGGAGGAGAGAGAGGGGAGAGGGGGGGAGUGGAGAAAACAGAUGGCGGUUGUGCAUGCAGCAGAUUCCCAUAGAAUUUAAGUCCAGCUUAUCCAUAACUUUGUUCGAAGAUGGGAAGUUGUUUUGGUUUAACUCUCUUCCUCAGACCCUUUAUUAUUAUUGUCUAUUUAUUUCAUUAUUAUUCCUUUUCUUUCUUUCUUUCUCUCUCUCAUUUGUCAACGUGAAAUGCCAAAUUUCCAUUCUUCAAAGUCUUGACCAAAAUCCACAUAUAUUCUUCUCUAUUUCUUCCCUUUUCCCAUUUAUUUUAUUUUAACAUUUUUCUUUUAAUAUAUAUCUAUACAAAAAUAUUGUCAUCAAUUAAAAACAAAUAAAAUAUUGAAUAGAUUUCGGUGUAUUUUGUAACUGAGUUUUAAUAUUUUUUUAUUUUGAAAAUGUCUCUUAUUUAAAAUAUUUAUUUUGAUCAUAUUAGUACGGUUUGUAUUUAAAUGAUAUUUAGUUAUUUAUUGUUUAGAGGAGUAUACUAUAUAGGUCUUAUUUAGUUAUUUAUUGUUUAGAGGAGUAUACUAUAUAGGUCUUUUAAUUGCUCUAGAGGGGAUGUUGUUGUUUUAUACUGUAUAACAUUUUAUUUAGUAAUAAAUAAUUAUGUUGUUUCUAUACUUUUGUGGUAUAAAUAAAACUGGGGAUAGUGAACUACGUAAAUAAAUGCCUAAAUUCUAUAUUGUGUUAUUAUUCUAUUUUUUUGUUUUUAAGUUUUAAAAUGUUACAUUUUAUUUUUUUAGAUAUGUUAAUUUUUUAAAGUAGUUAAAUAGACUCUCUAAGAUCAACUUUAAUGUUGAUUGAAAAACAAAUGAAAACCUAAUUAAUCAAACUCAAAACAUACCGUUACAAUCUUAAAUCAUCACUUGAUUUAAAAGCUUAAGCUAGUGGAUGAAAAAAAAUAAAUUAUAUAUCAUCUAAAAUAUUUAAACGCAACAUUCUAAAAUAUAUAACCAUUAAUACAAAUUAUAAUUAAAAACGAUGAGUAAAAUACAUCUUCCUAUGUGAGAAUUAACUAGACUAAAAAGAAGAGAAAUAUAUUCUUCGUAUAAGGCAUUAAAGUUUUUUAUUUAGUGUCUUACUCAUUCUUUAGAGUUUGCUAGAUGUUCAUAUUCUAAGCCAUAUACUAAAUACUAAGUAGUUUGAUAUAUGAAGUAGAGCAAUUAUUAUUUUCCAAAAAUUGUAGUCAAUGCUAGUUGACAUACAUUAAAUUGAUCGACAUAUAUCAUAACUAUCACUCAUUACCAUUUAUGUUUAUUAAUUAAUUAGCAUAUUUUGAUUAAUAAUUAAUGAUACUAUUGACGAUUAUUGAGUUAGAUAUUUGUUAAUUUGAAUAAAAUAUAAAACAAAUAAACCAUAUAUUAACUAAUGUGCAUAUUUCACUCCACUUCUGGUAGAAUUUUUCACAUUUGCCAUUUUGUUAUUUUAUUUCAUAUACACCUCAAUUUAUAUGUUAACAUGUUUCCUAAAAUAAUUAUUAACAACAAAUCAUUUUAAUAAGUCGAACUUCAAAACUUAAAAAAUGUCUCGUUAAUCAGUAGACAUUAAAAAGUCAGUCAUUCAAGAUUAUUAAUUGAAGUUGAGUAAAUUACAAAACAUCGAUUUUCAUAAGAAAUGUUGUCGUUUGAAUAUGUUUUGAAAAUCUAUAAGUGGCUGAUCUUUUUUUUAAAAAAAAAGCAACAAAUUAAUAGGAAUUUUAAAUUAAUUUAAAGUAGGUAUCAAAUUAAAUUGAAUAUGUAUUAAGUACAAUAAAUUUAAUGAAAUCAAAUGACGAUAAUAAUAAUUUUGGUGGUUAAAAUGCUCUUGUGUAUUUUAAUAUUUCAAAUUUAACUUCUACAGAGUUAAUUUAUAAUAUUUAUUAAUAUUACUAGUCAAUGUUGAUUAUAAAAAUUCAAAAACUUAAAUUUAGGAUUUUCACGUAAAUUUUAGAUAAAACGAUUGAAAAUAUCUCUAAAGUACAGCAUAUUAUAUACGGCAAAAUUUCAUAUUAUAUCAAUAUCAAUUAUCGAUAGGAUUUUUUCAUGACAAUCUAUCAAUAUUUAUUAUGGAUUAAAUUUUAAAAUGCCUAUUUCUUAAAUUAGAAUCCACGAGUAAAAUCAAAUAAGUUCUGAACGGAAGAUUUUAUAAAAAUAAAAAAAUUGAUAAACUAUUUACGUUUGAAAAUAAAGUUAAUUAUGUUUAUUUUUGUUAGGAAGUAUAAACGUAUUUUAAGGUCUUUCUUUAUUGAAAAAAAAGAUAUAUUAAUAUAAAAUAAAAUAGAAAUUUAGAGGGUAGAUCACAAAUAUGGAGUGAAGCGGUCAUGGAGUUGGCGCUUUUACUUCCUCAAUAGCACUAAACGGUGCGUUUCCACUAUUUAUUAUCAUAUUUUCAAAAUGUUAUAAUUAUAAUUACAAUUAUUGUUGUUCCUUCAAACCCAAUAUUUUAUAGACACCUUUCACCUUGCUUUUAAUUGGGUGGGUGUGCUUUCUAAGUGCAUUGAACUAAUUUAUGUUUGAGUCUCACCUCUACUUUUUUUUUUUUUCUUUUCAUUCUAACUAAAAUUAUCAUCUUCAAAUAUAAUCCAAAUCAAUCUAAAUAUUUAAAAAAUAUUACUAAUAAACAUUCAUAAAAUUUUUUAUUAUAAAUUGAUCAAAUCUAAAAUUUAUUCUCUCCUACAAUUAUUGAGAUGAAAUAUAAAAGUAUUAAAUUAACCCAUUAAAUCUCGAGGUAGUCCAGAAGCAAUGAUUAACACCAACUUCCCUGCGGUCAUAAAAUAUGUAUAAAUUGCUCUUUUAUUUAAAUAAAAAGUUAGGUAAAAUAAUCAUGCUCAUUAUAUUAUUGGAAGACUAUAUAUAUGAUAAUAAGAUAGAAAUAUGAUUUGUUGAAUAGCCUUUCCCAUUUUAAACUUUUUAUAUUUUUUUAUAUGUUUAACGAUAUGAAAAUAAUAAAAUAAUUCGAAAGUUAGGUGGAAUCUAUUAAAUUAUUUGUUACAUUGAAGAGAAUAAGAGUUUUCAAUUUUUUAUGGUAAAGAAGAGCAUUGAUUCAACUAUAAAUUUAGGUCUCAAGUAAUCAUAUAUACUUUUGUUUAUUUGAUUUUUAAACUUAAAAAAUUACCUUUCAAUGAUAUAUGUUUUCGAAAUUAUGUAUUUUCAUAAAUUGUAUUCUUAUAUGGUUUGUUUCUAAAAAUUGUUUUGAAUGUCUGUUCUUGUAAAUAAUAAUAAUAAUAAACAAAUAAAUACGAUUUUUUAAAAAGAGUAAAUAUUAAAUUUAUUUAUAAAAUAUAAUAAUAUUUUAUAUAUAGUUUCAUUUUUAUAUCAUUACACUUCUCAUAAAUAAAAAUAAAAGAAAUUAAACAAAUUCUUUCCGCUCCAUAUUUUUUUUCGUUUUACGUUUUUCGUUUAUAAAAUUUGCAUCUUAUCUUAUCUCUGAACUGUACUUUUUAUUUUUCCAAGAAUCAAGAAUAUUUUGGAAAGAAACAGAAAAAGAGGUACUAAAUUACAAAUGACGUCAAAUUUUAUAUUAAGGAAUAAUUUGUCAAAUUAGAAAUACAAGGCAAAAAAAAGAGUAAUAUAAUAUCAUUUCUUGUCUAAAAACCAUAAUUUGUACCACUUUUAAGUUGGUGAAAAUUGAAAUUGGAGUAAAAAGAUAAUAACGUGACAUUAUUAUUAACUUUUAAUAUAAUAUAUGCUUUUCAAGGUUAAACAAUAGUCCUAAUCUGUUGUAGUUACUACCAAGAUAGAGGCAGAUAGAUAUAUUUGAUGUUAAAGGAUAUAUAUGUUAAUUCAUAGAUCAGAUUGGUAUUUCUUUAACAUCAAACCAUAUAUUACUUAGUUAACUCCAAUCAUGUCAUUGAAUAUAGAGUUCUGUUAAUAGUUUGAACAUUAUACUUAAUUUUUUAUUUUUGAAAAUUUUAAUUUAUAUAUUUUAUCGAGAGUUCAUGCAGUUUCAUAUAGCUAGAGUAAAGAUGAUUUUAAAAAUAUAUAUAUAUAUAUAUAUAAAAACUUUUAAAAAUCUUUUUAUUUCCCUCGAAAAAUAGAAGAUACAACAACUUAACAUAGAAAAUAUUUGCAAAAUUGAAGAAAGUCAUGAUUAGUAAAAAAAAUCUGAAAAGUUAAAGUUCAUACUUAUCUUAAUAGCCAUGGAAAAUAGAGAUAUUUAAAUGAAUUACCAUAUUUUAAUUAUUUAAUAGGUGUUAACUAAACCGAAAGUUUCCUUCUUUAAGAAUUUAAGUUAAAAUUAUAAAUCUUGAAAUUAAUGAAUCUCCAAAUAAACUAAAUAAGAGUAUAACGUUCUAGAACUACACAUUAAAUACAAAUCAAAUUCAAAUUUUGAGUCAAUUAAACUUUAUAUAGAAAUGAAAUAAACUAAAAAAAACGGUAUUGUUUCUUUUUUUUAUUAUUGUUUUGGAAAGAUAAUAAAGAAAAAGAUAUUUUUAAAAAUAACAAAAUAUUAAACUUUUAAAAAAUAUAACAAAUUUUAUCCAUUUUUUCAUAAAUUGUAAAUCACUUCAAUAUUCCGUUAAACCCUCCUAAAAAUAUAUAUAUUUAAAAUAAAUAUUUAAUUAUUGAAAAGUUUAAAAACAAAUAAUUACUUAAUUUUUAUAAAUAUAACAAAAGUGUCAUUAAAAAAUAUAUAUGAAAUUUAUCAUUUUUUAAAACAUUAGGUUUGUCCUUCUUUAUCCUCAUCUCCUGGGAUAUUUUUUAUUUUCAUAGUUUUUAUUCUUCUUCUCAAUAUUUUUCAGAAAUAUUUUAAUAUCCUCCCUUUUAAUUUACUUUUGUUUGCAAUUUUUCUUUUUCUUAUCAUCAUUUUUUUGUAAGUAUUUUUUCUUUUUCUUUCUAUCCUUCUUUCUUCGAUAUUUUUUUAAAUUUUAGUCAGAUUGUUAUUUUAUUCAAUAAUAUAUUUUUUUCUAAUUGUUAUUUGAUUUUUUAAGAUCAUCGUUUUUAAAUAUAUUAGAUGUCAUGACAUUUUUUAUAUUGUUUAUUUUAGGUUUUUAGGUUUUUUAUUUUUAAAAUUGUAAAUAUUUGGGUGUUUGGUUGUAUUUGAGAAUACUGUUAGAUACUUUGUAUUAAUUUUAAAGACUAAAGUAUAUAAUUAAGAAAAGGCAAGAAAAAAUAGACGGGUGUGUCGGUGGAGGGAAUCUAGAAGUUAAUUCGGGCACAUUAUUCGAAUAAAUGACUUUUGUUACCAAUAAUUGAUUUACAACUCACAUGGCAUUUCAAUGUUUAAACAAAAUAUAUUCGGUGAACGAUUUCACAAUAAUUUUCAUUUCAACUCUAUUCCAAUUUCGACAUUUAAUUUUAUAAUAUAAAGUUCAAACCUAUCAAUUUUUUUAAGGUUAUUUUUUCAUUCCCUUCUAAGAAGAGUUUUAUUGCACCCAAAUUGAUAUUUCUUCCCUUUGUGACAUCGAAAUAUUCACAAGAACGAUGGUUGAUAUCAAGGAUCAAUUCACUUUUGUUUCUUUCUUCAAUUACGACAUCGUUACAAACCUUUUCAUUCGUUUUUAGUAAUUUGAAUUUUCAACUUUAGUAUUUGAUGUUUUGGUAUGUUCCUUCUGCAUAGUGAUUUUGUUUAGGUUAAAAACAUCAUUUUAGUUGUUUGAAUUUAAUCUUUAUAUAUAUAUAUAUAUAUUUAUUGUGAAUCUUAAAUUAAUUCAUGUACUUUUAUAUUUAACUUAAAAUAUUAAAUUUAAGAUCUACAAAAAUACGUAGAUAAAUCGUUUAGAUUUAUUGAAAUAAAAAAAUAGAGAAACCAUAAUAGAUCAAAAUAUGUACUAAAACCAAAAAGAGCUUUCCUCUCGUUUUAUGAGUUGUGUUUAUUUAUUUUAUUUUCUUUUUGAGUUAAGAUAUUGCUAGACUUGUCGGUGUUCAACUAAUAAGUUAAGUUGAAUUCGUAUAAUUUAAAAUUUUAAAAUUAUAGAGUAUUUACAUUAGUUAUGUUCCUAAACUUCUCAUCGAUUUAUUUUGAUGAUGAAACCGAGCAUGUCUAUAUCUAAUAUUCCAACCUAAGUUUUAUAAAAAUUCAAAUUUGGUGGACUAGCAAUUAGCUGGCCAAAUACCCUAGAAAUGUAGUGAGCUUUUCUUGAGAAGACAAAUAGUACUAAGAAGAGAGUAAAGACAAUAUACCUUUUUUUUUAGUAGAAUUUGAGGCUUGGAAUGUGAAGUAAUAACAGUAAUAAUACAUAUAUAUUGAUAUGAUCUCAAAGUUGAAAAUUUAAUCUUACUAUAAGUGAACUAGCUAUCCAUGUGCUUUUACUUCAAGAAAAUCCUUCCAUAUUCAUAUCCCUAUCAUUCUUUAAUUUUUUUUUUCUUUUUGCAUCCUUAUUGAAUUUGACUAAUGUGUAUCGAUCAGUGUUUGAUUUAUUCACUUUAAUUUAAACACCACACUCCACUAAUUUUCCAAUAUAAAUGUAAAUCAUAAUGAAAUGAAUAGCUAAGGUAUAGUAGAUCAAAACACAAUUGUCUUGUAUAGAUGUGAGGAAAAGCAAAUCAAAUGGUAUAUUGGAUUAGUCAAUGAGAUAAACAUAUACUAAAAUAAGAGAGUUUUUUUUUUUUUAUAGAAAUUUGAAGUUUAAUUGAUCAUGACCCAAAAUAAUUGAAGGAGACUAUUUGAAAAUACAAUGGAAGAUUUACAACACACUCUCUUUAGGAGCAUAUAUUAGUGGGAAGAAGUUUUUGAUCAGUCAAUAUUAUUCUCUCUUUUCACCAAAAGCAAUUAAUUGCUUUGCACAUCCUUCUAAUCUAUGGAUAAAUUCUACUGGAAAUUAAAACUACUUCCCAACGACAAAUCUCUAAUGGGAUAGUUUAUCACUUUCCAGUUAGAAAGGCUCACAAAACAACACACACAUAAGAAGAAAUGGACAUUAACGAAUACAAUAACCAAAGUACACCUCGUCAAAGCUCUAGGCAAUUGCAAUAGUGGCAUCCACCAAACACGUAAUCACUCUUGGCUAUUGCAACAAAGGAAUUGAUUACUAACACUUUUUUCAAUAGCAUUAUAUCAACUACCAUCACAUCAAAAGUGAAAAAGUGAGUCAUAAUAUUUGUAAUAAGAUCAUGUCAAGGCCACAAACAUUUUAGGUAAGUUUGAAUUUCAUACAAACACACAGUAGGAAAAAGCUGUAGGAAGGGGUAGAUCCUUUUUGGAGGGACCAAAAUUUCACAGCACAAAAGAAAUUUGAAGGCAUUUGGGACAAAGAAAUGGUCUUUGUUUCAUAAAAGGAAGCAUCAAAUGCUUAUUCUUGUACUUUCAUUCCUAUCUCUAAACAAAAAGAAGACUAAUACCACUUCAGAUAGUUUUCAAGUAAUUAAUGAUAUAUAUUUUUAUUUGUUUUUUUGGUUUUAAGUUUAAUCAACUAUUUUACAUUAUGGAAAGUGCUUUUUUUAAUGCUUUUAAAGUCUUGGUUUUCCAGCUUGCCAAACAUGGAGAUGGAGAUGCAGUAUGUACAGAUGGGAAAAGAAUUGAAUGGAUGUGGCCCUUGAGAAAUUUGUUAAUCACAUUGAGAAAAUGAGGGUUUCUUUUGGUCUUAUGGAACAAUGAUUGAGUGCCCUACUUUUUGCUACUUUGCCAUUUGGUUUGCCAUCUGUCUAUUAUGGGUGUGUGAAGUGAAUCUUCUUAAUUAGGAGUGCAAACUAAUCAAUAGUUUGUCAAAUAAUGAAAACAUAUAUUUAUGGUAUGCAUAUAUAUCCACGAGAAUGACCAUUACCGUUGAUGUCAAAAUUCAGAUAGAAAAAACAGAUAUAACUUUCUUAUGAUAUGGAUGAUAGAUUUAUUUGAAGUGAAGAAGAAAAAAUGUGAUUUGCAAAAGAGAAUGCACACUGUGAAAAUAAUAUAAUCUAAAAGAUACAAAUUGUGAGAUAAAAAAUUUGUAUAGAAUUUUCGUUAUUCUAUAAGAACCUAAACUAAAUUAUGUGUUUAUGCUUUUUACAAUUGUGCAACUAAUUACUUGGGAGUAAGUUUAGCUUAAGCGUUAUAACCAAUUUUAUGUUGAGAAUUUUCAAUACAAGAGGGGAAAUGGUAAAACAUAUUUGAAAAGUUUUUUACUAUGCAAAUAAACAAGAUUAAGUAAGCCUAAUUUGAUAAUGAUUUUAUAAUUUAUGCUAAUUUUCAUCCAAAUCUUAUAUUGUAAUUAUUACAAUCAUCAGAUAAACACUAGAAUUUCAAGUCAAAUUCUGAAAAUAAAAUAUGUUUUAAAACUAUAUUUUUUUAAAGAUAUUGUCAAACUUAUUUAUCAAAAUCUAGCUUAUAAGCAAUGCUUCCCAUAAUAAAUUUAUAUGAUUUUUUAUUUAUUAUUUUUAUUAAUAAUUUAAAAAAUCAAGUGAACAUUUUAAAAACUAAAAUGUAUAGUUUUCAAAAUUUUAUUUGUUUGUUUUACAAAAAUGAAAUUUUUUAUUAAACAAACGUAAAUCUAUAAAAAAGAAAAAAUAAAAAAAAUUAAACAAAAUAAUCACCAAACCUAACUUUAACAAUUAUCAAACGAGGUAGAAUAUUAGGGGUCUAUUUCUUUUUCCUUUAGAAUCAGAAGAAAGGAUAUCGUUGUUUGACUCGUAAAGGAUUAUUCUUUCCAUUCUAGCCUUCUCUUUUUUUAUCUCUCAAUAUGUAUUUUUAUUCAUCCUAUACAAUCCUUCCUUACCAACUUUUCUUUUUGUAAGUAAAAAUCGAGUAUAUAACUUUAAGUCCACGAUAUAAAUAUAUAUCACUUGAGUUAUAUUCGUUUUGGCUACUUAGUUUUUGUUCGCUUCAACAUAUAUUAAUUAAUUAAUAAAAUAUUAAAGACGUGAGUACCAUUGCAAGUUGUAAAACUUGAGCUUAGGAUGUAACAAAACCCAACAAAAUAAUUUGGCUUAAUAAUUUUCAAAGAAAAGAGAAACCAUGUAGGCUGUCAUAUAAUAGAUCCAAUGGGCUUUCUACUUUGGACUUAGGAUGUAACAAACCCAACAAAAUAAUUAGGCUUAAUAAUUUACAAAAAAAGGAAAGAAAAAAGAAACCACGUAGGCGUCAUAUAAUAGAUCCAAUGGGCUUUCUACUUUGGGCAUAGGAUGUAACAAACCCAACAAAAUAAUUUAGGCUCGAUAAUUUACAAAAAAAAGAGAGAGAAAAGAAACAACGUAGGUGUCAUAUAACAGAUCCAAUGGGCUUUCUACUUUGGGCCUAGGAUGUAACAAACCCAACAAGAUAAUUUGGGCUUAAUAAAUUUACAAGGAAAAUAAAGAAAAAAGAAAUCACGUUGCGAUCCAAUGGGCUUUCUACUUUGGGCUUAGGAUGUAACAAACCCAACAAAAUAAUUUUCGCUUAAUAAUUUACAAAGAAAAGAAAGAAAAAAGAAAUCACGUAGGCCUCAUAUAAUAGAUCGAAUGGGCUUUCUACUUUGGGCUUAGGAUGUAACAAACCCAAUAAAAAAUUUGGGCUUAAUAAUUUACAAAGAAAAGAGAGAAAAAAUAAUUCACGUAGGCGUCAUAUAGUAGAUCCAAUGAGCUUUCUACUUUGGGCUUAGGUUGUAACAAGCCCAAAAAAAUAAUUUGGCUUAAUAAUUUACAAAGAAAAUAAAGAAAAAAGAAACCACGUAGGCGUCAUAUAAUAGAUCCAAUGGUCUUUCUACUUUGGGCUUAGGAUGUAACAAACCCAACAAAAUAAUUUGGGCUGAAUAAUUUACAGAAAAAGAGAAAAAAAUAAAUUAUGUAGGCGUCGUAUAAUAGAUCCAAUGGGCUUUCUACUUUGGGCUUAGUAUGUAACAAACCCAACAAAAUCUAAUGUCUUAUUAUUUCAUUCCAUCAGGAUGUUUGUAAUCUUCAUGCUCCAACUAGGAGUAUGAAAUUUGAAAAAUAUUUUCAUGCAUUAUUUGUAUAUUUUUCAUUUUAUUUUCUGUUUGGUUUACUCUAUAGCAGUCUUUAUAUAUUUGACAUUACACUAAAUAACAAGAUUAAGGAAACAAUUGUACUAAAAGUUCUAAUAUAUUCGGUUAUGCUAAAGGUUAUUUAUGGUGCAUGUUCGUAUCAAUUUUUUUUAGAAUAAAUAUAAUUCAUAUAAUACAAUAUCACUCAUGUAUCAAUUAAUCUCUUAUAAAAUGUUAUAACUAGAAAAAUAAGAAAAAAAAACAAAGUGAAACAAUUUUCAACUAUACAAAUAUAAUAAUAAAAUUUAAGAUUUUAUCAAUACUUGACUCGUAUUGGCCAAACCCAAACAUCUCUCCCUACUCUAUUUUAGUUUUAGGGUGAUCUUUUUUAUUAUAUAUGCACAACACAUGACCCAUUCACCUCAACCUUAAUCAAAACUAAGCACAUUCACUUUGACUUUGACACAAGGUAACCCUCUGGUAUUCUUUUUCCAAAAUUGGCAUAGAUGCUAUUACUUUUUUUAACUAUAUCAUCGUAUUUAUUACUUUUCAUUUUAUUUUGAGUCGACUAUAAAAAUUUAAUGAUACAAGACUACAAUAACAUAUCUAAUAUAACUUAUACGUUGUAUACAAUAACAUAUAGAGCAUAUAGUCUUUUUUUUUUUUUUGUUGAGAUUUAAGUAUAUUGGAUUUUCAUAAUCCAAUAUAUCAAAUUAUUAUAUUUGUAAAUAUUUGAAACAAACUUAUUAUUAUAUGUAAAUAUGAUUUGUUGUUUUGUUUGAAGUCAAAAUUAAUUAAACUUUUUGAUAUCUCUAGGUUUGAAUUUGAAAGUUGAAUUACAAUUGAAUUUAAAAGUAAAGAUUGGAAUAUUUUAGUUUUACUAUUUCUAUGACAACACUUUAAUUUGGGGAACUAUGUAGAACCCUCUUCACAAACAUAGGAAAAUAAAAAUAAAAAUGUAAAUCAAAGAGAGAUCGAUGGAGUUUAAAACGGGUCAACAUGUACGUAUCAGCUCCAAUUAAAUAUUGCCACGUGUAAUCAAAGCCAAAUCAACGGCCCGCAUCACCCCAACGCUAGACGCAAUAUUAUUGGUUGCUAACACGUUACACGAAAUCUUAUUGGUCCACGUCAUCAAGAGUGACAUGGUCCUGCGCAAGAUGCAAUGGUCGUGGCAACCAGAAAUUUCCAUCGAUCUCUCUAUAAAACCACACCUCCCGCUUUCAGUCUCUUCCAAAAUCUCUAAACCCAAAAAACGAAAGCGAAAUCCUUCUUCUUCUUCAUAAUCUCAACGUUCACAGCUUCCAUAGAUUGCAUUUUCACAAGAUUAUCGCCAUGGCUAGCUCCUGGAGAGCUCGAGGAUCUCUGAUCGUUCUAGCAAUUGUUUUCUUCGGUAAUGUUUUUCCCCUUGCCUUAGAUCUGGUUUGUUCUUGUUUAGUUUGCUUUAGGGAAAGUGUUUAGAUCUUCUAGGUGGUGUGAGAUUCGGUUUUCUAGCGGUUUAUUUCAGGAGAUUGUAGUAUGAUUGUUUUUACUGUAACGGAUGUUUGCUAGUUUCGUGGUGGUAUUUGUUAUGGAGUUUUAGUUAUAGAUCGAGGAGUAUUUUUAUUGGCAUUUGCUGAUUUUUUUUCGUUUUAGACGGGAUAAUGGUAGCUCAAUGGAUCUUGAUACUGUUAUUAUGGUGAUGUCUUUGAGAUUCGUGGCGAUCUACGCGACAUUCUUUGGAUUUUUGUUUGCUUUCUAUGUUUAUGCAUUGUAAUCCUUUAUGUUUCUCUAUCUUUUAAAUUUGGUUUAUGAUUAGGGUAUUGAGUUGGUGUGUUUUAUCUGAAAUUUUGUUAUAGUUGAGUUGAUAAUGGUAGUGGUGUUUCAUUAGAUGUCACUACAUGUCGGCAUUUCUUUUUAGUAUUGUAUCGCUCGUAGGCGUAAUGUUUGAGUGUAGUAGUCCAUGGAUGUUCGUUGAAUUGUUGAUUUGAUUUUUUUUUAGUUUAAAUGAAGGAAAAUGUUGGGAUGCAUUUGUUUUUUUUUUUUCAAAUGUAUGAGUUUAUUGGUAUUAACCUGGUGAAAGCUGCAUUGCAGGAGGUUUGUUUGCAAUUUCCAUUGCGAAAGAGGAAGCAACAAAAUUAGGAACUGUUAUUGGGAUAGAUUUGGGAACUACUUAUUCUUGUGUUGGAGUCUACAAGAACGGUCAUGUAGAAAUUAUAGCGAAUGACCAAGGAAACCGUAUCACACCUUCUUGGGUCGCUUUCACUGAUAGUGAGAGAUUGAUCGGUGAGGCUGCGAAGAAUCAAGCAGCUGUUAACCCUGAAAGGACAGUCUUCGAUGUCAAGAGACUUAUCGGUAGAAAGUAUGCAUCCAUCACUUUCACUGAUUGAGAAUUUAUUAUUUAAAAGGGUUCGCUAAUGCAAAUUUUUUUUUUUUAAAUAGGUUUGAUGAUAAAGAAGUUCAGAAAGACAUGAAGCUUGUUCCUUACAAGAUCGUGAAUAAGGAUGGAAAGCCUUACAUUCAAGUGAAGAUCAAGGAUGGUGAGACCAAGGUUUUCAGCCCUGAGGAAAUCAGUGCUAUGAUUCUAACUAAGAUGAAGGAAACAGCGGAAGCAUUCCUUGGAAAGAAAAUCAAGGACGCCGUCGUCACUGUUCCAGGUGAAUAAAGGAACAUUCAUAAUGCUUGUCAUUCCUCAAUUAAAUAGUUUUUUGAUGUCUUUUGCUGCCUGUUUCUUUACUGAAUUUUGUUAUUUUGCCUGCAGCUUACUUCAAUGAUGCCCAAAGGCAAGCAACCAAGGAUGCCGGUAUUAUUGCUGGUCUCAACGUUGCUAGGAUCAUCAAUGAGCCUACAGCGGCUGCCAUUGCAUAUGGUUUGGACAAGAAAGGUGGCGAGAAGAAUAUUCUUGUAUUCGAUCUUGGUGGUGGUACUUUUGAUGUCAGUAUCUUGACCAUUGACAAUGGCGUUUUUGAGGUUCUUGCCACAAACGGAGACACUCACUUGGGAGGUAAGAAUUUAUUGCUGAUUUAAUAUUUUUAUGGCUGUUGCUUCAUAUACUAAUGGAAUGUUUUUGAAAAACUACCGCACACCGUCUUGCUUUAUUAGUCCGAGCCUUAUCAUCCCUCAUGCAUAACUAUUGGACUAAUUUAAUCUCUGCCUCUUCUAAUUCUGCCCAAGUAGAAACAAAUAUAUCUCGAAGGUGGUUUAAAGAAAUGUAGUAGAGUGAUCCAUUUUCCUGUUACUGUUGUUAUAUGAUAGGAUAUUAAUCGAUUGCUUCUGAAUUUACUGGCCUUGAAAUGAUUAUGUGCACACAUUUCUUCAGGUGAGGACUUUGACCAGAGAAUAAUGGAAUACUUCAUCAAGUUGAUUAAGAAGAAGCACGGAAAGGACAUCAGCAAGGACAACAGAGCUCUUGGAAAGCUUAGAAGGGAAUCUGAGCGUGCCAAGAGAGCAUUGAGUAGCCAGCACCAGGUCCGCGUUGAGAUUGAGUCCCUCUUUGAUGGUACUGACUUCUCCGAGCCAUUGACCAGAGCUCGUUUUGAGGAGUUGAACAAUGACUUGUUCCGAAAGACCAUGGGACCAGUGAAGAAAGCCAUGGACGAUGCAGGUUUGGAGAAGAACCAAAUUGAUGAGAUUGUUCUGGUUGGUGGUAGUACCAGGAUUCCCAAAGUUCAACAGCUCCUCAAGGAUUACUUUGAAGGCAAGGAACCUAACAAGGGUGUGAACCCUGAUGAGGCUGUUGCUUAUGGUGCUGCUGUUCAAGGAAGUAUCUUGAGUGGAGAAGGUGGCGAAGAAACCAAAGGUAUAAAUUCUUGAUUCUUUUAUUGCUUAUAAAUAUAAUGAUGAACUGAAUUUGUUUUUAACAAUAUCUGAUAUUCUCUUCGCAUUCAGACAUCCUUCUUCUUGACGUUGCCCCUCUUACACUUGGAAUUGAAACUGUUGGUGGAGUGAUGACCAAGUUGAUCCCCAGAAACACUGUCAUCCCAACAAAGAAAUCUCAGGUUUUCACCACUUACCAAGAUCAACAGACCACCGUCUCCAUUCAGGUACUGCAAUUUGAAAAAAAACGAUAUCUAUAAAACACGAUAGUGCUCUAUGUUCUUCCUGUUAUUGAUUCCUAAAACAUUCUUCAAUUCAGGUCUUUGAAGGUGAGAGGAGUCUCACUAAAGACUGCAGGAACCUCGGAAAAUUCGAUCUAACUGGAAUUCCUCCGGCACCAAGGUACACUUCUUCCCUUUGACCCUUCAUUACUAUGUAUUUAUUUGUAAAUGUUUUCCGAUGUUUAAACUAUGUUUUUGGAAUUGAACAGGGGUACCCCACAAAUUGAGGUCACCUUUGAGGUUGACGCCAAUGGUAUCCUGAACGUUAAAGCCGAAGACAAGGGCACUGGUAAAUCCGAGAAGAUCACCAUCACCAACGACAAGGGUCGGUUGAGCCAAGAGGAGAUUGACCGGAUGGUUCGUGAAGCCGAGGAGUUCGCCGAGGAGGACAAGAAGGUAAAGGAGAGAAUUGAUGCGCGUAACAGCCUGGAAACCUACACCUACAACAUGAAGAACCAGAUCAAUGACAAGGACAAGCUUGCCGACAAGCUUGAAUCUGAUGAGAAAGAGAAGAUCGAGACCGCCGUCAAGGAUGCUCUCGAAUGGCUCGACGACAACCAGAGCGCCGAGAAGGAAGACUAUGAGGAGAAGCUCAAGGAGGUGGAGGCCGUCUGCAACCCCAUCAUCACCGCAGUCUACCAAAGGUCCGGUGGUGCUCCUGGCGGUGAAUCAGCAGAAGACGACGAGUCUCACGAUGAGCUUUAAACAGAGUGUUUAGUAAUUUUUAUUGAUCUCUUUCGGAAGGCUGCAGGGUUGGUUGAGAAAAUGAUGAGGACAUAGAGAAAUGGUAGUAGGGAAUGGCAAAAGAAACUCACUGUAAUUCUUUAGAUAGGAUGGUUGAACUUUUUUUUUUUCCUUCUUUUUUGCGAAUGAUGCUUUGCAUUCUCCAUUAUUAAUGGGUACGGUGGAGCUAUUCGAAACAUUUUGGAUUUUGGUUUUAUUGUUAUUAAAAAGUAAAACUCCUAUGUUCAAUUUUCAAUUACAUGAGUUUAAUAUCCCUUUUCCACACGUCUAUUAGAAAUUCAAAAUAAAGUACAAAUAAGUUUAUGUCAAAUUUUCUUAAGUUUACCUAAGUUUCUGAAUUUAUCUACUCAAUACCAAAUUCUAAAUGAUUUGUUGCUUAAAAGAUGUAUCAAAAUUAAAUUUAUAAAUAUUAUUAUUAUUAAUUAAUUUUUUUGAAAAGUUAUAGAGAUGGCUUUUACUUACUAAUAAAGUGUUAAUUACUUCGACUUGCAAGAAUCAAGCAUGUUUGAAGAAUAAUUUACUUUAGAUAAUUUGACACUUGAAUAUUUUUUAUAAAUAGAUUUCAAAUGCAUAAAAUUUUUAAUACUAGAAGACAAAUUAACUAAUUUUAUUUUUUGGUUUAAUCUUGAAAAUGAUAUUGAGCUCCCUACGAAUUAAACUGAAAGAAAUUAAAACUUAAUACGCCAAAAAGGAAAACAAAAAACUUUUUUUUUUUGAAAAUUAACUUGGAGAAAAAAUAUACAAGAAUCUCAGCUUUCUGCUGCAGAUGUGAAAUUUUCUGUUUUUCUUAAGUUACAAAGCAUCAUUCCUUAUUUAUUCUUAAAAAAAAUAAACAGACAUUAUGACAAAUUCCAAUCUCCUCUUGCAUCCAAUUUGAUGAAAGAGAAAAAAAAACUCAAUUUAUGCCUUUGGACAUUAAAGUCCAACCUUGGGAUUCCCUGAGCCUGCUGCUACAACCCCCAUACCACUUGAUUCUUUGAUAGCAAUACCAUCUCCAUUCAACUCUUCUACAAGUUUAUCGAUCUUCCGAAACUGAUAUGGCCAUCUCGAAUUGUAAAGAAAUUGUCGAAGAUCGAACCGAUUGUCCUCUGGAGAAUAGCUCUGCAAUGAGAUUUAAAUAAACUUGUAAGAGAACGAGAAAGAUAUGUGAGUAGAUUGUAACGUUCUGAUACCUCUUUCUACCAUAAAUUUCAGUACAAUCGAUGAUACCUACCUCGGCGUGAUAAGAUGGCGUUAAUACAGUCAUUUUGUGUCGGUUGAUGGAGUAAUACUUGAAGAAAUGUUUCACUUUUUCGGCCACCUCAGAAGGAGUUAACUUAGCACCCCACCGGUAGCAGAGGUUCUGAAACAAGAACAAAGAGUUACUAAGGUCUAUAAGACUGUUUGAGCGAGAGAGUUAUGUGAAAAUAUUAGACAAACCUUAAACAUCGACACUGGACCACAGCGGAAAAUUUUUCGCAUUCUUCCGUAGACUGAGAGCUCCUCGUAAGUCAUUCCCAUGUCAACUUCAUCCAACUGUCUCGAGAGAGAAAAAAACUUCUUCAAUCAGACAUAUGGGCAAGAACAUGUUGAAUCUAAGCAUAGGUUGAAAUAAUAUAUCCAAAAACAUUAACACAGGAAACAAUUAUUUAAAGUCGGAUCUAACUCUGGGAUAAAAUGCAUCUGAAGAUCAAUUUUUCAGAGGAAAACUGAAGUGUGAGAUGUGGAAGAGAAGAACCUGACUGUAGUUUGAACGGAUUGGCUCUAACUCAGCUGUAGGUGGAGCAGCUUCGAUAUCCGCCAACGAUGAGUAGGAAAGAUGGGUGGAAGCCCAUCUAAGAAAUGCUCGAAGAUCCAUCUUACUGAUGCUUCCAAUUGGAUUUAUAUCUGCUGAACUGCAAUCAUACUGCGUUGAGAAUCCAAACACCAGAUGAGACACUCGUAAAAUGAAAACAUGGCAGAUGUAUAUAGAAAUUCAAGAAGGGAAAAGAAAUAGCUUGAAUAAUAUCAAACCUUUGUUAAGUAACCACGCAAUCCUUCGUCGACAUUGGAGCUACCCAGAACAAGGUAGAAUCCCGGUUUGCUAUGUACCCAAGGUAAAAGUGAUGCAAACAUAAAAGCCAGAACCAUCCUGAUUCUAGCUUGAAUAUUUUGCAGACCUAAAUUUUCAAUAUUAGAUCCCCCAUCUACCUGCAUAACAAGACGAAGAUGACAUAUAAAUAGCUAAUAAAUCGCAAAAGUCCAAAUACCUAAAAGAUAGGGAUAAAGAUGAAAUCAUGUAGUGUUACAUGGACAAAGCGAAUUGACCUAACUAUCUCAAUAUGAAGAAAGUAAAAUCUGCACUUGCAGAAAAGCACCAUUCACCAUGCCCUUCCCUUGUGUACACAAUACAAUAAAACUUGAAGGAGAAAAAGAGGUAUUUUCACCUUAUAGCGAGGACGUUUUCCAGUGAGUGUUUGGAACAAAGAUAAAAGUGCUGAAACAAUUCCGUCUAUGGAAACAUCAAGAUGCCAUGAACCAAUCUCAUGUGCUAGAACCUUCGCUCUUGUACGUGUUUCUUCAGAGCUACAUGGAGCAAGCAUGGUUAGUGAAUGACACCAGAUUUUGAGCUAUAACAAAAAGAACAAAGUGUACAACCUAUUUAUUAAAAGAUAAAAUAUAUUAAACUGAUCGGAACCCUAAACCAGAUCUUUCAGUUCAAAUUCACGUUCAUGUUAAAAUGCAGACAAUAAAUCAAGAUGAAUUCGUGGACUAAAGCAUUGCUAUAUUUUGGCAAGGUCAAGCAGGUCUUCCAUGGGAUACAGUUGAGGCACUCUGUGGCCCAGUUCAGGCACCUAUAGUUAUUAGAAAACAAACUUAACCACUGAACUCACCUAUUUUCAGAACCCAUAAAUACAGUAUAAAAAAUUCGUCUGGCAAAUUCUCUGCUAUCGGUUGGGAGCUCUCCAUCAGCAUAAUGUCCAAUCCGUAUUGCAUCAGCUUUCACUUGUUCGUCUCCAUUAGCAAUUUCUGCAAGCCAAUGCAUAGAAACAACCAAGAGAGUACAAGUUGUGAGUGAUUGGUGGCAAGUGUAUGAAUUAGUAAAACCCCAUGCUUCCUGUAGGGUAUCAAGCAAAUUUUCUAAUUAUACUCCACUUAUCAUUAAUAAAACUUAGGGUGGGUUUUUGUAAGGUUCUUCGAGGAACAGAUUCCUUUAAAUAUCAUUUAUUUACUUUUGAAUUUUUGCCCAUCCUCUUAUAUGAUGGAGACAUCAAUAAUCUAAUACCUGAUGACUUAAUGGGCAAUCCCAUGUUCAUUUGACUUAAUCCUUCGUUGUAUACUACUUUAGAUAAACUUGUCACAUAGAGAUACCAGAACAAUGCUACUCUAGCUGUGUCCAUGGAAAAUAAAAACCCAAAAGCAACCUUUUACGACAAGCUGACACAUGCAGCCUACUAUGGCUGCAACAGAGGAGCUAUCAGCACCACCGGAGAGAGGAAGCAAAAAUCCAGAAGCUCCACUUCGUCUUAAAUAGUCCCAUAGCCAGCAACCUGGUCCAAAGGCUAUUUCCUCUUCCGCACAGUGAUAUUUAAUCUAUAAUUCAUCAAUCACAUUGCAGUAAAGAAAGAUCAGCCUUUAAAAAAAUGAACUAAAAUACUACGGAAAUAUACUGAAUGCGUGGCAACUCUCCUCAAGUGGACAAUGAACUAAAAUACUGUUGAACUGAUAUUGAGUGAGUGGGAACUAACCUCAAGAGGACUUGAAAGGGAAAUUUUGAGAUUGAAUGAUUGACAUAGACUGUACGGGGCUGCCACGGAAGGAACUUUAGUUUUAUAGCUUGCUUGUUCUUGAAAGCUGCUGAUAGAUCCUCUAAGACUAGCAACCUGUCAGCAAGCAAACUUCUUGAAACCGGCAGCAAAAAGGACAGGAAGACAAAGAAAACGCCAUAGAUUUAUUUUGUUUUGUUUUAUUUUAUUUUUUUAACACUUGGGAUAUUGAGCUCCACUCCUCCAUUAUGUUAAUAGCCCACCACACAAUAUUUCCAGAGGCUCUUGGGCACCAUAAGGCCAAUAUGGGGAGACAACGAGAAUUUAAAACCAUUAUAAACUAUUUGAACCCUAUACUUUGUAGUGUUUCUACAAAUAUCUAGCGUGACCCCCAAAGCAUCCUUGAUAGAGAAUACCCAUCAUUUAAGUUCAACAAAUGACCAUUCAAUUGACACUAACUUAUGAUAAGGUGAAAAAGGAGAAAGUAGCUUGGGUUAUUAAAUAUGAGAUAAGGAGAUCAAGUAAAACAUCACACGCCUCAUUGUUUGAAGAAGUCAAAGGAAGCUAGGAAGUAUUUUCAUACCGCAUCAAGAUCCACAUGAGCAACCACAACUUCAACAUCCUUCAAAGAAAACUGUGACCCUUGAGCUACCAGAUCACCGUUUACAACGACGCAAGCACAUCCAUCUGCAACACAACAUAAACUUCAAUUAAUCCUUUGUUUUCUUCAGCAAACUACAAAUGUCAAAACCCACAGUAAACAAUACACACAAAUCACAAUAUGCUGCACAUAUAGGCAUGCAGAAAUUAAAAAUGGCCCCACAUAAAGUACAUAUAAAAUAUCAUUUAUGUUAUUCGUGUACUAUGAGUACCAUGAAAGAAAAUGCAAAGCAACACUAACUAAAUUUUAUGCAAAAGCAUGAUGCAUACCAUAGUAAAGGCGGCCCCCAUCACAACCCUGGUGGUUACUAUACAUGUAAACUCCACCACGAGUAUGAGUAGCACCUAUAAAAGCACGAAGACGAACAUCAAGUUUUCUUAGUUGGUGAUGACUUCCACUGGCAUUCAUAAAUACUUCGACCCCAUUCAAAGCAAGUUCAGCGUGAGGAGGAAUAGGUGUAAAUAGUUCUUCACAAACCUCAGCAGCAACAGCUCUAACAUGAUAAAAACAAACUAGGCAUCAGACUCUCGUAUUAUUCUCUACAAAUUCAAUUAUAAAAAAAACAUGCAACAUCCAAUUAUCAACUUGUCAGUAUGCAGCAAUCAGAAGUUACAUAGGAAUUUUGGACUUGCAAAACGAAAGAAAAUUAAACAAGUAUUUUGGGGACUCACGUAUCUUGGAACUGAAUAUAUCCAUAGCCAAAAGGCACAGAAGUCUGCGACAGAGCCUCAGCAACAUCUUUAGGCAGCUGAAAAUCCACAAGUUUGUCCUUUAGCUUCCAUGCUGUGAACCACCGGAGCUCCCGGUAAUUCCCAUCAUUUGCAAGCCACAUCUUUGGGCGUAUCAUAAUAAUUUUCCUAUUGUAGCACAUAAUUUGACAAUUGUAGCGCUCAGAGUCUUUAAUAACAGGCAUGCCAAUGCUGCACAAUAUCCCAUCGGUCCAAGGACCCAACAGUAUAUCCUUCAAGCAUUCCCAUCUGCAUAAGUAUCCUAAAACAAGAAAUUUGAGCACCCCAGAAGCUUGAAACCAUCAAAUAUGCCUAGCAAUACACUUCCAAAUAUUAAGCUUACAAAAAUGACAUAAACCAAGGACCCCACAAAUUGCGUUUUGUUAAAAAUUCAGAAACAAUUUCCCAUAACCAAAAGGAGUUAUUUUCAGAUAAUAUCAACCGAAUUGAGAUAAAACAAGCAGAAAACUUACGCAUGAGUGACAGUGUCGAGCUCCAAGAAAUGGUCUUCACACCCAUAUCCACUAAUCUCAAGUUCAGGGCCAAGUCUAAUGACAGCCCCAGCACGUUUAGCCUCAUCAAUGGACUCUUUGAUGUGCUUCACAUUACAAUCGAAAUCCAUAGCCCAUUGGUUUAAAUUACACGUUGCCACUUUCAACAACCUCAUCUUUAACGAUUCCUCUGCCUACCCACCUUACAAUCGGGAACAAAAGUAAAAAAAUCAAUGAACCAAUUUGAAUAAUCAUCACAAAAGAAAUAAAGGGUAUAAGAAAAAAAACGAAAUUGAGGACCUGUGAGGACUGACCUGGGCUACUUCUGCAGAAAAUUUGAGAGCUCUGCAGAGACGACCUUAUGUGAUGGCCCAAAUAAGUGAAUGCGAUGUAUUUGUUCUUGUGUUUGAUUCUCCUUUUUAUGCCUCCAUAAAUUAUUCUGGUCGUAUUUAGUGGGGCUUGGAUUCUUUUCUAACACGCGCUUGGAAGUUGGAAUUGGAAGUUGUUCGAUUCAGUGACUCGGCGGGUCAAAUGGUCCUGGAUCAUUGGACGGGUUUUGGAGUUUGGAAUGGAUACGUUCGACCCUUCUUCUUUUAUACAUAUAAUAGAUAUAGAUGUUGAUAUGUCCCCUUCUAUCAUAUAAGCUAAUAUUUUGUUAUAAUUUUCUUUUUGUUUGUUUUGCUAUAUAUAUAUAUGGUCUAUUUAUCAUCUUUAUUAAAAUUAAUUUUAAAAUUUCAGUUGACGCUUAUUCUAAAUUAAUUAAGGAGAGUCAAAUUUGAAACAAAAAAAAGUAACUUGAGUCAAUUAGUAUUCAAAUGUGCAACACCUAGAGAUCUCUAGGUGUCAUACUAAAAAAUAAAGUAUAUUUAAAAUUUAAACAUGAAAAAAUGUUGCAUUUUAAAGUUUAGGGACUACAUUAUGGAUGCCAACAUGAGUAACAUAAUUCUUAGACUUGACUCUUAAUUACGGUGCCUUUAAAAAAUUCAAAAUUUCAUUACGGAUAGUUUAGGUUUAAAAGAACAAAUGAAUAUAAGUCAAGAAAAAGACCGAUUUUAAAUAUAGAGCAUAAAUAAAUAUAGGAAAUUUUCAAAUAGAAUAAACAAGGUUACUCUUUGGUCGGUGUCCGGUGUCUAUUUGCCAUGUCGAUGAUUUAUCUAUAUCUAUUAUUAAUAAAAAUAUAAAUCUUAUGGUUUUGUUUUAAAAAUUAUUUUGAACAUUUUGUGAUUUAUCGUAAUUAAAAAAGAUGAGGAAAAAUGUACUAAAAAAGAGGGGAAAAAUCGAAGGUUGAAGGGAAACUAAAAAACAUCCAUAGCCGUCUUGGCGGUCGCUUCUUGCGUUCACAAAUCGAGCAGCUGCUGCUUGCUGGAGUUGGAAGGCCGACGAAUCUCCGGCUGAAGGAGGGCAAAUAGCGUUGAAGCUGUAGAUUCAGCAGCCAAUCCUUAUCGGCUCAAGAGCCCCACUCCAUUUUGGGUUCUCGAGAUGACAGAGGUGGCGAGCUCAGUGGUGCACGAGGUCCUUGGACAAAGAACUCAGGACGUGGAUCAGCCCAUCAUCGACUACAUCGUUAAUGUUCUUGCUGACGAGGAUUUUGAGUUCGGCGAGGAUGGCGAAGGAGCUUUCGACGCUCUUGGUGAGCUCCUCGUUGGUGCUGGCUGCGUUUCCGACUUCGCCGAGUGCCGCACGGUUAGUGAAUCAGUGGUUUGUUUGAGAAUUACUUUGAAAAUGUUGGAAAGGAGUUCAAGGUGAUAUGUUUUGUCUUUGUUCGCUCAUCAAUUUCAUGAUGCUUGUGUUGAGGAUUUAAUGUCGUACAGCGAUUAGCUUUUUGAGAUUAAUAUGUUCAAAAUUCCAAUGCAUUUUUGGACUAUGUGAUAGCAGGAAACUUCUAAUAUCAGGGUUAAUUUAGAAUUCGCAAUAGCUUUCGGCUUUGAGAUAAUAAUUUCCACCGAGCACCGAUUAUUUCGAUGGUUAUCAUGUAGGUAACUUAAAACGAUUGUAUAUUUGAGAAAUUCUCUUGUUUUGACACCGGGAAAUUAUGUAGGUUUGCAGUAAAAUCUCAGAAAAGUUUGGGAAGCAUGGAUUGGUCAAGAAUAAACCAGCUGUGCGCAGUCUUGUAACACCCAUGAGAAUGAAUGAAGGAAUGGAUGAAGAGGAGGUUCCGAAGAAGAAGCCGGAAGUUAUUGAUGGUCCUAUACUGACUGAGCGUGACCGAUUAAAAUUAGAGAGGAGAAAGAGGAAGGAGGAACGUCAAAGAGAGGUGAAGAAUCACUGACGUUUUAUGGUCACCUUUUUGCAUAUGACCGAUUGUUUAAAAAAUGUCAUUGAUAUUCUGAAGUAUUUGCUAGACUUGCGCAACGCAGGUUGAUUUAUCAUUAUACUACUAGACAAGAAAAUAAUAAUAAUAAUAAAAUAUGUGUCUAGGACUAGGAGAACCUUUUCACUUGAACUGGUUUUUUUAAAUGGUUCAAUAAGUUGAUUCCUUUACUAACUUCAAACACUUUCUUUUGAUCAUCAGGCGCAAUUCCAAAUGCAUUUAGCUGAAAUGGAAGCAGCCAGGGCAGGAAUGCCUGUAGUAUGUGUCAAUCAUGAUAGUGGAACGGGGCCUGCAGUCAAAGAUAUUCAUAUGGAGAAUUUCAAUAUUUCUGUUGGUGGUCGUGAUCUCAUUGUGGAUGGCACAGUCACACUGUCAUUUGGAAGGCACUAUGGUGAGUUUAGUUUUAAUGCUCUGUUUGAUUCGAUAUAUACGAAAUGCUGAACGGUAGAAAGGUUACUGGAAAAAAAAUCUCAAUACUGUAACUGCCGAUACUUAAAUAUGUGAAAAACCAAAACAAAUUGAAGACGAAAAUGCCUGAUAUUUCAAAAGCAAGUAUUGGGGAGACUAAUAAUAUUAAAAAGCUGGGCACACUACUUGCCUCAAGGUGAUUUGGUUUUCUUGCACACCCAUACUAAAGAACGGGCCCUUUGACUUAGACAGAAUUUUUUCUUGAUCUUGAGCCCAUCAACACCCCAUGAUGUUACACCACCAAAGACUUUGUCACCUCCUACCAUAUUUGCUGCAAUAAGAUUUCUCAUCGACGAUGAUGGGUUGCAAGUUGAUCAGCUCUCUCCAAUGCCUUAGGGUUGUAUAGAUUAAUGCUGCUGAUCAACCUAUUUUUGUAAUUAGGAGCAUCAUUAUGUAGAAAGGAGGCUUUGUGCUGGGGGAGGAGUAAGAUAUUUUGAAAGGGGGUUUUCCUAAAGGGAACCAUUUCUUAGCCCAAUUGGCAACUGGCUUUGUGGUAUUGGUAAUAUAUCUUGUCCACCUGAAAGAUGUAGUGUAAGCAUCACUUUUAGAUUAUAUUUGAAAAUUUUAUGGUUGAGCGGAAGAAUGAUAUUGCAGCACUCAAGCAAGCUCCACCAUGUGAAAAAGCAGAAAGAUGUUCCUUUAAUGGUUUUGGUUAUCCUAGCCCUACUAUCUCUUUCAAUGGUAAAGAAUUUAUUUUUUGAACAUAACAGACUAAUGGUUGUAGUUUCCCAUUGAAGGGAGGGGAGGAUCAAGUGUUGGUGAUGGCCAAGUUAAAUGGAGAACUGGAGGGAGGCAUAUGGUGAAGUUUCAGCUGAGGGAGAGGUGGAUGCCAGGGUUGAGGGUGGGGAUCCCAGAGGGAGAGCACCAUGAAAAAAAAAGAGAAAAAUGCUAUCUGACGAAAACCUAAAAGUUCACCAGUAAUUUAAAUACAAGCAUUAUAUGCACACACACAGACACUCAAUAUUUGUAAUUAGUAACUAUCUUGGAGGAUGUUAAUGUACUAGAAUCAAUGGUUUCUGAGUGCAGGUCUUAUAGGAAGAAAUGGUACGGGGAAGACAACUUUUCUUAGGUAUAUGGCUAUGCAUGCCAUUGAUGGUAUUCCUAAGAAUUGUCAGAUAUUGCAUGUAGAGCAGGAAGUUGUUGGUGACGAUACUUCAGCGUUGCAGUGUGUUUUAAAUUCGGAUAUAGAAAGAACCCAACUUUUGGGAGAGGAAGCUCGUCUUCUAGCCCUACAGGUUUGAAUGCGACUUUGAGUGCUGGGUUCACCUAUUUUUACUUAUCUUGAGCUUGUAAUUUGCUCUAAUGGUUCCCUCGAUUUUCUUUACAUAUUCAAUGCGUUGAUGUAAAUUCUAAUUAUUUGAAGAGAGACGUGGAGUUUGAGGAUGAAAAAAGCAAUGCAGCUGCUGACAAAGAUGGCAUUGCACAAAGGCUUGAAGAGAUAUACAAAAGGCUUGAGUUUAUUGAUGCUUAUUCUGCAGAGGCACGUGCUGCUUCCAUUCUUGCUGUAAGUUCAAGACAUUUGCCUUUAUGCCUUUAUGCCUUUCUGAAAGAAUUUUUCAUCAAUUGGAUCAUUUCCCCACGUUGGUUCAGUGCAUAUAUCAGCUCCUGUGCACCAUCUGUUAUAAAUUCAAGAAAAAGAUUUUCUGUAGCAAUGUGGUUAAGGCUACACUUUUGUUGAUUUGAUCAAAACAAAACCGAAGGGUGUUCGAUGAUAGUUGUACUUGUAGAGAUUGGGUCAUUGCCUUACUCUUCCCGUCUUUGACUUACUUGCUUUGUUGUACAGUUAUACUCUGUCUCUGUGCACAUAACUAUUUGUAAAAUUGUCCUCUAACUAUUGUUAUUAGCCUUUUUUGGGCAUAUUCGGCAUAACUGACACGUCAUUUGAAUCUUUGUAAGGGCCUGAGUUUCUCCUCAGAAAUGCAGCAGAAAGCAACCAAAACGUUUUCAGGAGGUUGGAGAAUGCGUAUUGCUCUUGCACGAGCAUUGUUCAUAGAGCCGGAUCUGUUGCUACUUGAUGAACCCACAGUAUGUAGUGCAUCUUAACACCCCCUCCCCCCCAACACACACACCAAAAGAAAAAUGUAAGCACUAUGGAUUUUGGUCUUUUUUAAUGUUUCAAUUAUUUUAUCAUCUUUUCCUCCCUCAGAACCAUCUUGAUCUUCAUGCUGUUCUCUGGUUGGAAUCCUACCUUGUGAAAUGGCCAAAAACAUUCAUAGUUGUUUCUCAUGCUAGGGAAUUUUUGAACACGGUAAAGUUGUUUAUUUACCUUGUUUCUUGCUUUACAUCUUAAAAAACUACUUUCAAUGUUACUUGGUUUGAGAUAACCAACGGAUUUUUUUUCAGGUAGUCACGGACAUCCUUCAUCUUCAAGGGCAGAAAUUAACGACUUAUAAAGGUAACUAUGAUACAUUUGAAAGGACGAGAGAAGAGCAACUUAAGAACCAACAGAAAGCAUUUGAGGCAAAUGAACGGACAAGAUCACAUAUGCAGGUCAUCAGACAUGAUAGCUCAAUUGACUCUCUUUUGUUUACCGUGAUAUUUUUUAUUUUCUACAGUUGCAAUAGUUUCUGUGUGGCUAUAUUGAUAGCUUAUGUGGUUAUAAGUUUGCAAAAUUUUAAUUCACCACAUAAUGCUACAUUGAACAAACUUGUGUGUGCAAGCAUGCUUCUUUCUGUGUGUGUUCUUUAAUGGGUAAUUGCAAGGGAUAGCACUAUUAGGACUAAUAAUUACAUGUAUAUCAAUAUUUUUAAAGAAUUACAAAUAUAGCAAAAUCUAUUCUUGAUAGGCUUUAUCGAUGAUAGACUUUAUUGCUGAAAAACUCUUAGUAGUGAUAUAAUUGAUCCCUAAUAGAUUUAACGAUGAUAGACUUGCAAAUAUAGCAGAAUCUAUUCGUAUAGGCUUUAUCGAUGAUAGACUUCUACCAUUGAUAGACUUUAUUGCUGAAAGACUCUUACUAGUGAUGUAAUCUAUCCCUAAUAGAUUUUGAGAGUUGAAUCUAAAUUUUGCUCUAUUUGCAAAUUCUUUUGUAUUGUGCUGUAUAUGCUAAUACUUUGAGUUUGAUUUCUAUAUUUGCAACAACCCUUUUUUAAUGGAUGAAAAACAACUUCUAUUGAGAAAAAUAUUAGGCUACACAAGCUUAAAAAAGGAAAGAAAGCUAAACCUAUACAGAAGUAAGCACCCUAAAGGAAGAGGUUCUGAUCAAGCAGAAAGGGUCCUAACAAACAAUUCGAAGAAGAAUUCAUCAUUGGUACCCUAAGAGAAACACAGAACCUAAUAAGGGACCAAACUUCAUUAGUAUUUUCUCCAUUCCUCUUUGUGAAUUCUAUUUUAAUAAUACAUUUUUGUGAACUCUAAAGGUAGUUUUUGGUUUGCUGUAACUUUAGAAACCUUAAAAAGUAAAAGGCUAUGGAGGUCAAUAACAGAAAAGAUUCUGGUGGUUGAGUUCUAAACUAGUUUUUUCUUUAAAAAAAUAUGAUUAUUAUUAUUUAAAAUAAGCUGGAAUUUACAAAAUAUUAUCGGGGAUGAGGAAUCUAGGAGGGUAAUUGGGUAUUGACUAUUCUGGCUUUGGAUGUUAUUGUGGCAGACGCCUGUCUUUGUGAAGUGAAAUUUUCUUAUUUAUGACUUAUGAGAUGUCUUGUUUUUCUGCUUUGCUGAUUGUUUCAAGAAAAAUGGUUAUUUUUUGGAUAAGAUGUUUAAGAAUGAUAUUAACCUUUGCAAUUCCUGAAUGUAUAUUUUACACUGCAGACGUUUAUCGAUAAGUUCAGAUACAAUGCAAAGAGGGCAUCUCUUGUUCAAUCAAGGAUCAAGGUACUCUACCCUUGAAUUUGAAGGGUUUAAUGUGAAUCACUACUUUGUUUAUUACUUUUUAGGUUCUUGAUCGAAGUUGUUCUGUUAUGCAUUGAUUUACUAUUUUAGCAUUUUAAUAUUUCGAGGAAUUCUUAUGUACAUUGAAGUCAACAAAAUCUCAUGCUUUAUAUUUUCUGACUCUAAUUUCUCUCAGGCUUUGGAGCGAAUUGGUCAUGUGGAUGAAGUUAUAAAUGAUCCAGAGUACGUACUAAUUUCAAUUAGCGAUCAACUUACUAGAACAUUGAAUACCGUUUUUUUUUAUUGUGGCUGUAAUGUAACUGACUUUCUGAACUUCAGCUACAAGUUUGAGUUCCCAACUCCAGAUGACAGGCCAGGUCCUCCUAUAAUAAGUUUCAGGUCAGAUAGUUUAUGCUGCAUAUUGUUGAUGUUGACCUUUGGAGUUAGCCAUUUAUUAUCUUGUCCAAUUAGUAUCAAUUUGAAAGCAUUACUCUAUUACUUUUGAUUAUAUUUCUCGAUGAUUUGUAUGCGAUGGCUUCAUCUUUACUCUCAGAAGGAGGAAUUAUCUUUGAAAUUGAUUCUAAGAAAGCCUGAAAGGCUUUGGAUGGAAAUAGUGAUCUUGGAUAUGGAACUGUAUUAGAUCAGUUAAUUUAUCCCUUUUAGUUAAAAGGAGAUUGAGAGGUAGGAUUUUAUUUGAGGAUAUUACUAAGUGGCUUCAUGUUUGUUGGGGUAUUAGAUAUUGGUCAAUUUUGUUUGUUUUACAAGAAAUUUAAUGAGGAUGCUUUGAAGUACUGGUAUAACAAUGUUUUUUUUUAGAAUUCGUUCAUAUGAAGCAUUAAAAUCACAUGGAAUGGUGAAAUGUUUAAGUGUUUUGAGUGUUCUUAUGCAGCUUAAUGAGAUAUUAGAUGGUGUAAUCCUUGUUUAGUAUAUUUUUAAAUCCUUCUGAUGUCUCUUCUUCAUGCUGCAGCGAUGCAUCAUUUGGCUAUCCAGGUGGCCCCAUAUUGUUCAAGAAUCUGAAUUUUGGGAUUGAUCUUGAUAGUCGAAUAGCAAGUAAGGGAAUCUGAAUUUUCGGUUGUUUCACAUGUCUAGGACUUUUGGGAAGUUCAGCAUGUAAAGUUGUUGAAAUUCUGCCUUUGUGUCUUGGCUUUCAUGUUCCUAUAAUUUAUGUGCCCCUAUUAUUUUCAAUUCUAGCAUUUGAUAUGUUCUAUAUCUUAGCUGUACCACACUUCUCAUUAGCUUUCCAACUUUCUUUUGCAGUGGUUGGUCCAAAUGGCAUAGGUAAAUCAACUAUACUCAAAUUAAUUGCAGGGGAACUUCAACCUACCUCUGGAACAGUUUUUCGUUCAGCUAAGGUAUUUUUUUCCUUGUGUUUGACGUUUCAGUGUUGGAUGCUAUUGAAAAGAGUAAACGUUGAUUCUUCUAAGUGAAAUAGUUAAUUUUAGUGCUUCUAUGUCAUAUUUUAAUAUCACCAUGCUCUUGGAUUUUUAUUGAUAUGAUGAGUCAGAGACUAGAUAAAUUCUACUCUUUCAUUGAUGUUUACUAACUUAUAAUCUACAGGUUCGAAUAGCUGUCUUUAGUCAGCACCAUGUUGACGGGUUAGACUUGUCUUCGAAUCCACUUCUGUACAUGAUGCGUUGCUUCCCAGUGAGUUCAUUUCUCAUGUCUAUCUUAUUUUCUGUUUGUUGUUUUUCUUUUUUACAAACAAUAAACAAGUGACCUUUUUAUCAUGAAAAAGGUGUGAUUACGAAUUAGUCAAGUUGCUGUACUGUAUUGAGUAUUGCUUCUAGCUUCCUGAUGGAAUUUGACCUUGUUGAUACUUUUCUCUAAAUUAAGAAAGAAAAUUGGUCGUGCUCCUUCACCUUCUAGUCUCUUUGUAUAAUGCUUUAAGCCUUGCGAGAAACGGCUAUUCUACAAAUUUGUUUGGCAAAUUUCUUUGUCAAAUUUUCUAGAGCUGAAAAGUUGCUUUUGGUGAUAUUCAACUCAAUAGUUUGCUAUGUAAACCAUUCUUGAAAAUGUCAUCAUUGCUCGAUGUGAAUUAUGCAUUUUGCAAUUAUUCUUUUUUGAAAAGGAAACAAGCUUCUUUAUUAUUAAUAAACUCAAUGUACAAGAGAUCUAUACAAUGAGAAUCAUAGGGAAGCCAAGAAAAGAGGGAGAGAAAGAGAGAAAGGAUCAGUAGGUGCACCCGGACAUAUCAACUAGGUUGACACCCCCAUAGCACUCUCAUCAUAUCCAAAAUACAAGAACAAUACUAAGGUCAUGAAAAGACCAAAGUAACCACCAAAAUAACUACGAAAGCUACCUAUGGUAGACUAAAGCAAGGCUGAAAGGAAAAACAAAAUGGCAGAAAUACAUAUAAAACCCGUCCAAACUAUAAAAGCACUAUUUCUGAACUGGCAAUCGAGGGAAACUACUUUGUAACUCAUCCGAUGAAGGCGGUCCAAUUGAGGCAGAUGUCUUGAAUGGAGUAAUCUUUGAAUUUUGCAUUUGAAGAACACCAAGUUGCUGCAUUUCUUUUAGAAAUCUCUACGAUGUCAGCCCAAUUCCUUUUUUUAUCAUGGAAGAUGCGUUGGUUACGUUCAAACCAAAUCUCAACUAGAAUCGCUUUUAUCAAAUUAACCCAAAUUAGAAAAGGUUUUUUUUUAUAUAUAAGGCCCCCUCAGUAAUUGGCGCACAUUGGCGCUAAACGAACCAUCAAAGACCCAAACUGAUUUGAGCAUAGAAAAUAUGCUAAACCAACAAUUUGAUGAGAAGGGACAGAAAAUGAAUAGGUGAAUUAAUAGCUCACUGUUUUCCAAGCAAAAGGGGCACACUGAAGGCAGCAAACAUGUAUUGGAAAGCUUCCUUUGCAUAGUCUCGGAACAGUUUAAAGAACCCACUGCCAUAAUCCAAAUUAUUCUUUAGGAAAUAUUUUGCUUAGUUGGAACCCCUUUCUUCAGUUGGGUGUUUUGUUAGGCUGACUUUUUGUAUGUCCUUGUAUUCUUUCAUUUUUUUCUCAAUGAUAUUUUUUUCAUCUCAAUGAAAGUUUGAGCUUGGGGGUUUAAUUAGUGUCUAGCUACUCCUGAUAUUAUCGUAGAGUUUUUUACUACUAUUAUUUCAUAGAUCAGGUGGUUGUCUGCAAGAUUAAUUGAGAAUUUAAGUUACUAUGAGCAAUUAUGGUGAUUAAAAGAGAAAAAAUUAGAAAUAAUAUAAGGAUUAAAUGGAGACUGAAUGAUUGCUGGAGCGAUAUUGAGACGGUUUCUUAAUACUUAUGAAUCUGCUUUGCAAGAGAUAAUACUAAUCAUCAAACUAAUUUAUUCAUAUCUUCUUUCAGGGUGUGCCAGAACAGAAGCUUCGAGCUCACUUGGGUUCAUUUGGUGUAACCGGAAAUCUUGCUCUUCAGCCUAUGUACACGCUAUCUGGUAUCUUUCCUUGACACUUACAUGUAAUGUAUUGCAUUCUAGCCUGGAAGCUUCUAUUGGUUAGAAGCCCAAAACUAUUCUUGGAUUUUGUCUUCUUGAGCAAGUUAAUUAUUUUUUGGGGGAAAAAUUAGUAACUCUACUAUGUAGAUGCCAUGGAAUAUUCAUGUAUCAUAACAAAUCAUGUAGGUGGUCAGAAAAGCAGAGUUGCUUUUUCAAAAAUCACAUUCAAGAAACCACACAUAAUAUUACUUGAUGAGCCAUCCAAUCAUCUGGUGACUUCUCACUCUCUUUCCUUUUCGCACUCGUUUAUUCUUUUGUAUGCAGGUUUCGAACUUACUACUGUUUUAUUUUGUCAUCAUGUGUAGGAUCUGGAUGCAGUGGAGGCUCUAAUCCAAGGCCUUGUCUUGUUUCAAGGAGGCAUUCUCAUGGUACGUUCGGUUCCCCCACCUUGUCCUUUUCCAUCCUCGAUCAGUUCAUUUCAGUCAAUCUAAGUUAUCUAACCAUGAAACUCGACAUCGAGGCCUUAAGGUCAUAUCUCUACUUUAACUUCAUAUUGAUCAAUAUCUGCUUACAGGUUAGUCACGAUGAGCAUCUGAUAUCGGGAAGUGUCGAGGAGCUGUGGGCAGUGUCUGAAGGUAAAGUAAAUCCAUUCCGUGGCACAUUCCAAGAUUACAAGAAGAUAUUGCAGUCUUCUUAGAGAAACUUUACUGUGGGUUUUAAAAUGAAUUGGGUUUGAUAUGGUUGUGAGGUAGUUUUAAUAUAAUACUAUGUGCGCUUGAAGCUUUUCAACAGUUUUGGAAUUUUAUACAUGUAUACCACAAACAGGCAUGGAAUUUUCCAGGAUAAAAAUGCCAUGUUGAAAGUGUAACUGAACUUUAUUAGUCUUUGUUAUAUUCAUUCGCCUCUGAUCGGGGUGUAAUAAGGAUUUGAUUUCUGGUUCAAGUAAAAAGGUGUAUGAAUGUUCGUUAAGUUAGGUUCACUUUGACUAAAAUAUAGGAAAUUUGGUAUUUCAUUUGAAUUAUCCUCCUGAGAACGAUCCAACUUAUCCUUGUUUCUUUCUAAAUUUUUUGUUUUUAUAAUUGAUUUUUGAAGUCCCGAAGUAGCUUGGAGCUCAAGCCCUUGCAUCACGAAUGCAUGGGAAAGUAAAUUGAGAGAUUCGAUUUUGACUUAUGUCUUUUAUUUUUAAUAAUAGUUAUGAAGAUGUUUUAAUUUCAAAUUCAAACUAUGGGACACCAGAAAGUAGAAAAUAGGCGAUUAAUAUGAAUUAUACAAUUCUUUUUGUUAUGAAUUUGGCAAAGAAUUUACUUGGUUUGUUCGUUGUAAAAUGACCUUUAACUCACUUUUAUUACCUUUUCCUAUAAAUCUUGCAUUUGUAUUUAUGUUUAAUAUAACAUCAAGUCUGGUACAAACUAUUUCGUUUUGUAUUCUUUGCAUUGUAAAUCUUACUACUUUGUGAGGUUUUUUUUCUUCCCCUUUUUAUCUAUUUCUAAAGUUUUGGGAAAAAAAAUUCUGUAAAGUUAUAAAUUUAGUCCAUAAAAUUUAGAAAAAUUAGGAUAGUAUUAGCAAUAAAAAUUUUAAAAAUAUAUAGUAGAACAACUAAACUUUAAAAAAUACGGAUUUUUAGACAUGAGAUCGAAAGUUGGAUGAAAAAAUAAAAAACUUUGUUAACUACAUUCAACUUUUAAACAAUUUGUUUUAGUCUUUUUUUUAAGAAUUUAACGAAGAUUAAAAAUAUUUUUUGGAAGAAAUCUAACAACACAAAAUUUGUAAGAAAGAAUACAAUUUUUAUCCAAAAGUUUAAUUUUUUUCUCUUACUACUAUUUUUUCUGUGUGUUAUUAAUAAUCACAAUGGUUUCUAUUACUCACUGACUCCAUAAACCCAUAGAAUUUGAAAAUGUCUUCUCCUUUUUUAGUUGAAAGUUUAAAACUUUAAAGAAAAAUCAAAUCUAAAACUCCAAAGAGUUAGGAAGUGGAGGGAACCGGAAGCGAAGUAUAUAUUUGAUUUUAGACAUGAAAGUUCCCAUUUUUGCUAAUUGUGGCGGGAGAAUGGCGUAACCCGUUUCCAUCUACUCUUCCUCUCUCUCCUCUCUCGUAUCAAGGAGGAAAAAAAACCCCGCUCUCUCAAUCGAUUCUUCUUGUGUUGUGCUUCAAUUUGAUCGCCAUAGAGUCUCUCAACUCCCAAUGAGGUACUUUUUCUUCUAUACAAGUUUGAUGGGUCGCACCUUUUUGUUCUAGGGCAUCGUCCAUCGCUGUUUUUGAGACUUUUCGUUGAAGGGUUUCGAGUGUAACUUCUGUUUUUUGGUUGUUUGGUCUUCAGAUUUGGAUUCUGAGAACUGGGUUUUUAUAUCGGAAGUGGAGUGCUGUUGAAGGUUACUGCAGGGUUUGAUUUGUAAUGGCGGAAGUUUUUGAUGACGAAACGGAACAGACGAUUUCUAUUCAGGAGUAUCUGAAGGAAGUUGAGGAACAGGAGCUGGUAAUUCUCUCUUUCCCUCUUUGGAUUAGGGUGUCUGAUUAUUGGUUGGCUUUCCAAAAUUUUAGCGAUAUAAUGGCCUGCUAACGUACUGGGUUUUCUAUAAUUAGGGUUCAUGGUUCGUCCUUGGCCGCAAAACUUAUCGAAAUUCUUCAAACCAAUUUGAGCGUUCUGAUUUAUUGUUAGUUUCAUAAUCAGAAGUCAGAACACGUGUACUUUUUGGUGUUCUAAAGUUUGCAAUUAUCGAAGGUCAUUCUGGCUUUCUAUAGAGAAUAUGAUACAUCUUUAAUGUCUUCUUUUCUUGCUUCUGUUUCUUUUUUUUGGAUGCAUGGUAUCUGAUUAUUUACUAUUAUUAUUAUAUUGUUAAUCAAGGAAGCGGAUUUAGUUUUGGGAGGUGAUGAGGGAAAGGAAUGUACUUACAACAAGGGUUACAUGAAGAGACAAGCCAUUUUCUCAUGUCUAACUUGUACCCCUGAUGGAAAUGCUGGAGUUUGCACAGCCUGCAGUUUGUCAUGUCAUGAUGGACACGAGGUAUACAUGUCAUACGAAAGAACUCUAUUUAGAGUAUCCAGCUAUUUAUGUUUAUUUUGUCCUGUCCUUUGUAUUGUGCCGAGCUAUUCAGUUCGUGGCUUGGAUUGCUUUUGAGCAGUAUUAUCCGUAGGAUAUAAAAUUUAGCUUAUUGAUUUAUGGACAUACCGUUUACUUAUUGAUUGUUGGUAUUGUCGAGUUGCAUGAAUGAUUGUUGAUAAUUUCUCUCAAAUCUUUUUUCAUUCCAAUAACGUUAAACUCUCCAAGUACUUUGCUUUCUAAUAUCUGCACUAUCUGAUUAUGAUCAUUGUUCUCUUGGGUAAGAUUGUGGAAUUAUGGACCAAGAGGAACUUCAGGUGCGACUGUGGAAAUUCAAAAUUCGGAAAUUUCGUCUGCAAGCUGUUCUCAAACAAAGAUGUAGAAAAUUCCAACAAUUCGUACAAUCAUAAUUUUAAAGGAUCAUACUGCAUAUGCAAUCGCCCUUACCCUGAUCCAGAUGUCGAAGAGCAGGUGGAGAUGAUUCAGUGUUGUAUGUGCGAGGAUUGGUUUCAUGAGGAACAUCUCGGUCUCAGUUCCAUAGAUGAGGUGUGAGCACACAAGCCCUUCACGCGUUUUCAAUAAUAUUUCUGUUUCUCCAUUUUUGUCGUUAUACAAUGUUAUGUUGCUUAUCAUUAAAAGUGACUUGAGAUUUAGUGAAUCUUGCAAUUUCAUGGAUAACUAAACAAAGUUCGCAAACAUUAACCUCUUAAAUUUUAAGUGAGUAAAAUUUUAUCUUCACGAGAGAAUUACCUUGCCUUUUUUCUAAGAUGAUGGAACUUUCUCACUACAAAUUUAAGCAUGCCACUUGUAAAUGGUUAUUGAACUUGCAUCAUAUGCACUUGUUUGUUCUGCAGAUUCCCAGAGAUGAAGAAGGGGAGCCCCUAUACGAGGACUUCAUAUGCAAAGCGUGCUCUGCAGUUUGUUCUUUUCUGAGUCAAUAUCCUUCAUCUAUUUGGGCUGUGGGAAGGCAGUCUGAUACCUCUAUGGACGUUAGCAACAAAAUUGAUGCUUCAGAGCUUCCAGCUAGUACAUCUGUAAAGCACAAUGAUGAUGUUAAUCUUCAUGAUUCUGCCAAUGCGGAUCCUACAGUAGAUACUGACAAAUCUGCUGGCAAGGAUAGCUUGCUCAGUGAACUUCCUGAAAAUCCUAGUUCUAGCGAACCAAUUAAAGAUAACAAUCAAACUGAUAGUUGUGUGCUUGGAACUUCUUUGUCGGCUUCUAUAAUUGUUGAAAACAAGCCAAUGUUUCUUUCAAAGAAUUGGAGGGGUGCCUUGUGCAGAUGUGAAAAGUGCAUCAACAAUUACAAGUUGAAUAAUAUUAGUUUCCUGCUAGAUGAAGAGGACUCUAUUGCUGAGUAUGAAAAAAUGGCAAAACAGAAGAGGGAAGAGAAGUUAUUGCAACAAGAAGGUGCUGAGUCAAAGUUGUUUGAUAACCUUGGGCAUGUGGAGAAAAUUGAGAUUCUGAAUGGCAUUGCAGAUAUGAAGGAUGAGAUUCGUACCUUCCUGGUAUUUUCAUGCCAUUACAUGUUUGUUUGUUCUUUUUCGUAUUUUGCUUGGUUUAUAUGUUCUUGUUCUUCUCUGCAGGAAUCAUUCGACUCGUCGAAGCCUAUUACAUCUGCAGAUAUUCACCAGGUUUUUGAGAAUCUAGCUAAAAAGAGACGCCGUACUGAAUGAAAGUAUUCUCUUAGAAGCUUCAAUAUAUUUCAGUAUCUAUAAAAGGAGUAGCCUUCCGUUGGUCUUGGAGUUCUCAAGUAAGCUGUCCUGACUGCUUGAAUAUAUGUAUUUGGGGCGGUUUCUUUCAGAAUUCUGUUAUGGUAAAACCGUUAACUAUGAAACUUAAGUUUCUUUGAGAUCUAGAUUAUGCUUUCAGAAAUGACUUGUUUUUGAAACCUUGUUAAACUACCGGAGGUGCCAACCCCUGUGGUUUAAGCUGUAAAUUUAACUUAGUUCCAGACUUGUUUCUAAUAUAUGAUGUUAGACCUGUUUCUGAUAUGUUGUGCCCCUCACCCUCUCACAUGUGAUCUCUUCUCUUAGCUAAAUUUGAUUGAACAAUACUUAAGUGCUGCGUCCAUUUUCAUGUAUCUGGUUUUAACUUUUGAUUGGAUUACUUGGGUGGGUUGUACAAAGAUGAAAGAUAAAAGCAUUUCAAGGAGUCAGACGGAGACGAGGAUGACUUCUCUGUCUACACCCACCCAAUCUUUCCUAUCCUAGCCAACAAAAAGAAAAGAAAGAAAAAAGAAAUACCAAACUUUGUUCUCUGAAUUAGGAUUCCUUGUGGGGAGUUUUUUUCCAACCUACUAAAUAUUUUUGUAAAAAAAAUGCUUGUAUAACUUUUCCUUAGAAAAUCUUCAUAUACUCCAUUUAUAUGAAGAAAUUUUCAAACAUUAGACAUUUUUUUUAACUUGACGUUUUUUUAUAAUAAUUAUUUAAUUGUUAAAAAUAUUUACAAAAUAUAAUAAAAUUGUAGAUUCAACAUUGAUAAACAUUCUAGACUUCUAUAAGUAUCUAUAAGAGUUUUACAUUUUUACUUGGAUAAUUUGCCGUUUGGUUCAAUAUUAAUUGAAGAGUUUUAUUAUCUUGUUAUUUGCAAUAAAACACUUAUAUUUCUCACAUUCUCGUUAGUAUCAAAUUCUUUUAAUUACUUAUCUAUAAUUAUUAUCAACCUAACUCAACUCAACCAAUAGUAUCAAAUUCUUCUAAUUACUUAUCUAUAAUUAUUAUCAACUUAACUCAACUCAACCAAUUCAAUCAAUUGUUUCCCUAAGUGUGUUGGUAGAAAUUGGUAGAAUUAGAAAUUGGUAGAAUUUUGAAUAUAAAAGUAUUAGUGUAAUGCAAGUAAACCCAAAUGCAACGAUAUUGCGUAAUCAGAUGGAUAUUGUUGUUUAAGAAGAGGGGCAUUGCAUAUUAAAUGUGCAAACAAAAGAAAUGUCUUAGUUUCAAUUAGAAACUAAUUUUUAUUUUUUCGAAAAGCAAAUAUAUGUGUAUAUACUUAAAAUUAUAUAUGUUUAGUUAUUUUGGUCCGUGGAGGAAACAUCCCUCGAAAAUGCCUUUUCUUUUUCUGUCUUUUUCUUUUCUUUAGAAUAUAAAGACUUUGGUUUUCUAGAAAGCCAUUAAAUAUUGCGUUAGUGUUGAUCUAAACAAUUUUAUAAUUCUGUCGAGUGAUAUGCCUAAUAUGUUUAUUUGUAUUUUGCUUCCCAACAAUACUUUUUCUUUUGGCAAAAGAGAAGAGCACUUAAUCCCUUUAUUCCAAAUAAAAUUUUGAUAAAAUAAUACAAAUAAAUAGACUUGGUUAUUUGUCUUAGAUAAACACAAUUUUGAUCUCUGGAUCACCAACAAUUUUGUUUAGAACAAUUCAUACACACAAUCCAUGUUUUGUGUGGUGUGUGUUAUUUUUAGUUGUUUCCUUCAAGUAUAAGAACACGAUGAACAAAAAUGUAGAGAAUUGGAUGGAGCAGCUAGAAGCUCAUUCAACUAUCAUACUUCUCAUUGUUCCAUUCAAGAAUUCUCAUAUAAACCCAUGGAAAGUCAUACUAAUGCAUGAUUAAUUUUUAAAUUGUUAAAAAUCACUCUAGAAACCAAUAAAUUUUCAUAUUAUCAAAAUUAGUAUUACAUGUUCUUGAGUGAUUUUAAACCCAACAAAAGUAAUUUAAUAACCUUAAAACCAUAUCCAAAUAGUAACAUCCAGAAAUUUUGUUGACAGAGGCUUUAUAAUUUUGUAAAAAUGAUCUAAGAAAAAAAAUAUUAAAAGUGAAAAUGCGGAACUGAAUUGAGUCUAGAGGGAGCUAGAUGAUUGUUUUACUACUAGGAUAGCUAAUAAUAAUAGUAUUAUAUCAGUAAGAGCAUAAAAUUGGGAGGAUGGAUCCUAUACUAAAUCCAUUGUGCAACCAAACCUCUGAUCUUUGACUCUAGUUCACGUUCAUGUUGACAUUUGCAACAUCUUCGUUAGCCUUAUAAAAAAGGUUACGAGCUAAGCCAAACCCUACUAUGACUAUACAAUUCCUUAUCUUCAAACCACAGCUGCUUAAUCAACAAGAUUAAAAUCAGAAGUUCUCCAUAAUAUUUCUUAUACAUAACCUCUGAUUUUCAGGACAUCCAAUUUAUUUUGAUUCCUUGUCAAUAAUGACCUCCAGAGCUUGGAAAGGUCUUAAGACAAGACAAAGCAGAUGAAAGGAAAAUUCAAUUCUAAGGGAUGCAGGAGAUGAAAGUCCUCCAACAGUGAAGGAAAAUUCAAUUCUACAUUCAGAAAUCGACUGACCUAAUCAAUAAAUCUGCGUUCUUCUUGGACUUCAUUAUGAGCUCAGCAUUGGGUCGGUCAUUGUACUCAAUCUGUUGUAUGUUUGAAUGUUAGUUUAGGGAUAUGCUAUCAAGGAACAAUAAAAUGUAAACAGAGUGAAAAUAAAUCAAAGAAUGAGGAACUUACGCGCCAUUUGGCAACGUCAGGAGGUUUUCCUAAUUGAGUUCGAUCAUGCAGGAAAGAGUAGCAUAGAAUGUUAAUCAACAAAUAAGGUUAUUUCUUGGUUGAAUUAUCAAAAUACCCCUAAUUUAUGGAGCUUGUUUCAAUUUAACCUUUGAGUUUUGAAGUUUGUUUCAAAACAACUAUAGAUUGUUGCAGUUAAAUUCACAGAUGAAAAAUGUUUGUAUUGAUUUAUGUGAACAAAUCUAAACAAAUACAUGAAAGAGAAUAAAGUUACAUGACGCACCUAAACCAUACCUCUUGUCCCCUCUUCCCCCCUAUGUAGCCAAUUUUGUUUUGUUUUGUUUUUUUUAUUUUUUUCACUAAUCCCAACCCCAAAUUAGUUUACUGUCUAGAUUCGUACGCUUAAUCAACACAAACAGACACAAAUUUUCCGUCCACAAAUUUAAUGGCAAAAGACUUCAAAAGUCUUUUUUGGAUAAAAAGAAAGAAAAAUAAACCCUUUAAGCUUCAAAGGUUAAAUGUAAUUUUUAAAACUGCAACAAUAAUUGAAACACGGACACUGACCAACUCAAUAUUUUUCAUAUUUAAAAAAUGCGUCCACUCGGAUAUCAUCAUACCUGUUGAAAUAUGUCUUUUGAGAACUCGUUCCAUCGAUUUGUCGAUAUCUAUUUCUACGAACCUGGGCAAUCAAUACAAUCAUAUAAAUCACCAAUAAGAACGAAAAAGAGAAUCUUUGUGCAAAUGGAACACAAACUUGCAUUCUCUGCUUAUCUUUCAAAUUAAUAUGAGUGAAAUAUCAAGGUUAUCUUCCAAGCUUGCAAGCCUCAAGGUAAUGUAUACUUACCAUUUCUCAUCGAAUAUUGAUGAGAUUUCUUUCCAAACCCCAUCGUCGAGUAAUAAAUAAUUUCCUUCUACUAUAACAACCUUGUGCCUGAAAGUAAAAGAAUAUACUUUGUAAUAAAAUGAAAUAAAACCAUUUUCAGAACCAGUUUGUAGGGGUGACAUUCAAUCUCAAAAUAAAAAAUAGAUUGAUUUUCCAACCAACUCGUUGUUGGUGUAGACAAAGAAGGAUCGAAGCAGAAAACCCCAUGCAUAUUUUUUAGAAAACACUUUCACAUUAUUUUGAAGAAAUCAGAUAGAUCAAAUCUUGAUAUUCUAAACUUCAUCCUUCAGGCAGCCAAUUGAUACACUUUUUCAACAGAGUUCAACAGAUUAGUUAAGACUGGUAUCAGCUUUCCCUCUCUGGAUUUUGUAAUUUAUUGACUUUUAAUAGUAUUUUCUAGUUUAUGUUGGGUCAAACAAGUGUACCCAAAAAAAGCAUUCCGUUGGUUAUAAUAAUGUUUGUAAGGGAAAUGUCUGUAGUCUGCCAAAUUAUUUGCAUAGAUUGACUAUACAGUAGUGCCCCGGUAAAAAGAAACAAGAAAUCACUUACUGAAGGCCCACGAAGAUGUCAUCCUCAACUGGAUCACCGACACCAUGAUCAAAUGAUGGUGCAUAUACUGAUCCCUGGAGAAGCCAUCAUUUAAAAUCGAACUUAAAGAAAGCAAUUGAAGAUAAACACAUCUUACUUAAGCACGGCAGCUCAAACAGGAUAGAAAAUAGGGAUAGCAAAAGCAAGAUGUUUUUGACAUAGAGAAGUUGUUCGUUACAGUUGCAACUCUACAAUUUACAGCACCAACAUACAAUAUUCUUCCAUCCUCGGUAAGUAAAUUACCUGACUUCUUAGUGUCUUGAGGCAUGUAAGUAGCAGCUGAGGAUUGAAUGUCCAAGGAGCUGAUUCAUCAAUUAGAAAUCAACCCUCCUGGUGCUUGCAAGGAAUAAAAUCAACAAUUAAAAUAACUUGAGAUCUCACCUCCCCGUCUUGCAUGCGCUUCCUCCGGAUUCUAUUGACAUGAGAACACAGGGGUUGCAGUUAGAAGUACGAAAAGGCAACAUACAUGACAUACAAGACUUACAGGAAGAGAGAUGCUUUGAAUUAACAUGGUAAAAGAUGGCUGGACUGCCGGCAGUAAGCAAGAUUUUAGCAAAAUUAUAUUCCACGUACUUAAUAUCUCAAGAAAAUGAAACUGAAUUUAAAACAACUAAAUCUCCACAUGUACUCUAUCAUCCUAUAAGUUAUAAAAAAAUUCUGAUGGUUUGCGUGUCAUGUGAAAAUUGUUCAAACAAAAGAGGCAGGGUGACUCUGGGAAAAUCGACUUACAACUCACCUCCAUUGAAUCAAGCUGAGAACGAUAAAGAUGGAAACCAUCCAUAGGGAGAACAGCAGCAACAUCAGCAGGAUUUACUUGAGAAUCCAUUGAAGAAGCUUUCUGGGGCCAUAACUUAUUUAAACGUUGGACCACUUCAGAUGCUAUAGUGGUUUUGCCAGCACCAGGGGGACCAGCCAAACCUACAAUAUAUCUGCACGAUCAGGUAAAUACAAACAAUAAAAAAGUGAAUAUUAAGUAUUCACACACUCAAAUAUAGUAAUAAAAUUGAAAGAGGGGAAACAAGGAGGCUACCGGGAAUUCUGAAAUUUAUAAGAAAAUAAGCUGACUUUAUUCACACACUCAAAUAUAAACAGAUUUAUCUUAGUUCCAAGUAUAAUAAUGCAUUUUUAAUUAAGGCUUAUACAACGUAAAGUCAGUUCGGUUGCUGUUUGUUCCAUCUGACAAGACCUCCAGAGUCAUUCAUGUUUGAGUCCACAAUGUUAGAUCAAAUUUGAAGCCAAAUAAUCAUCUCAGUUAAAGAUGAUUCACCCUCUUAUAAGAAUUUGUAAUACUCGUAUAUAGUGGGACACACAUCCCUAAUUCUUGACUGAAAUAUGGAAUUACAUGUGCUUUCACACAGCAUGAAGGGCUUUGGUGCCCUCCCUGCGGUGAUCAAGAGUCAAUAGAAUAGAAACGAGUGAAUAGCCAAGAUGAAAAAUCAAAUGUCUUAUUGGAGAUUCAAGGGUUUUUCCAUUUUUCUUUCGUUUCUUUCUUUUCUCCUUUUUUCUAGAAGAUACCAAAUUUCAUUGGAAAAAAAGAAAAAAUACAAGGGGUAACGAGUCCCAAACAAAAAUCUGAAAAAGGCACCAUCUUUGCAAGAACAGAUAAUUAUCAUUAAAAUUCUACUGAGUAGAUUUUGUCCGUCUAUUAAAAUAAUGGUCCUGGUUUAAGUAAUAAGAUUCAACGUUUCUAAUGGGGCAAUAGCAAUACGAUUAAAUUAACAAUACAGAAUGGAUAGCAGAUGCUACUUAGUUCACAACAAUUUUGUAGAACUUUUUUUUUUUUGGUUAAAAAAGUAUUUAUUAUCUGUGUCCUCCCCCAAUCCCCAUUUUUUACAGCCUUGGAAGGUGUACUUACUUAAGAUCAGGAUCUGAAGCUGCUGCUGCUGUUGGAAGAAGACGUCUUGCUAGAUCAUCAUAUAUGUCAUCUAUACACCUUGAGAGAUAAUAAAAAGAACGUAAAAAAUGAAUACAAGAAAAUUGGAAAGAGAAAAAUUAUUAGUUAUUUAUAUGGAUAGAGAAGCAAAUAUAUAACUAUGUUUAAAAUGCUGAAACCAUUCUUUGAAACUGUAGAGCUCAUUUUGCAUAAUGCAGCAGCUCUUACUCCCAACAGGGGGGUACAAAAUUCUCAUUAAGAAAUGGAGAAAUAAAAAUAGAAAACAGCAUCACGAUUUGAGCAAUACUUGUGAGUUGUGAAAGGGAUGCUACCAAACAAUUUGAUUAGUAUUCCUACUUAUCUUCUGCCCAUGGUCUGUUAGUCGAUUAAUGUUUGCAGUAUUCUGAAAUUCAUAGUUAUUAAGACAGCACAAUAUCAUGCAAUCUAUAUCUAAGAAGUAAAAUGCAUGAUUCUUCCUCUACAACGCACAAAAAUAUUCUUUAUCUUAUAAUUUAUAAAAUUUAAUUGCUUAACAAGACUUAGCACUCAACUGAUUGAAGAUUUUUAAGUUAAUGAAAGCAGUCCCCUCAAGCUUGAAAAUUAAAUGUCAACAAGAGCUUAACUCAAUUGACACCUGUAUACACUUGAGGACAAUAGGUCCCGAUUCAAAUCCACCACUCCAAUUUGUACUAAAAAAGAAGUCUGUAAAUUAAAUAUCUAUUCUUAGUAUAAAAAAAAAUCUACCAAGGUUAGGUUGGAAAUAACCAAAAUAUUAGCGAGGGUUGUCCCUAACAAUUGGUAUCAAAGCUAUGCUCUUCAUUUCGAUGUCUGUAGAGUCCUCAAGUGUUGAACAAAGAAGUGGUUAGCCUCGAAAAAAAAAAUUGUUGUGAUCUGUGGUUAGGUGAUCUGUUCCGAUGAAGAGGAGUUGACCUAGAUAAAGAGUUAGAUAGAUAUAUGACAAUUCAAGGUCCUUUGUUAGAGGAGAUGAUUGUUGGAUAUUCGACCAAACCCAUCCAUUGGCUAGAUAAAGAGUAGAUCACGGUAUAAUAGUGAAGGAAAUAUUUCCAUUACUAUGAGGUCUUUGGGUGAAAUUAAAAAGUAAAAUCAAGCAGACUCUCCCAAAGUGGACAAAAUUAUACGAAUGUGGAGAUAGUCCUUGUCCCCAUCAGAGUCCUAUAUUUUCUUUUGCAGUUUCCAAACCAUGGAAUCAGUUGAAAUACAAAUAUGGCCAUUUAAGAUAGUUUGUUAGCGUACCUGCCCUCUACAACAGAAAAUUCUCUCUUUUGGCUGCAAAAGACCUGGAAAAGGGAAAGAUUCAACAGUGACAUUUCAGAGUUCAUAUAAAAAGAAUCGAAAGCAAUUAUUGAGGCCGUGAGAUAGAAAGAAAGAGAACUUACAGUCACACACUUAUUCUUCCUACAGAAACCAUUAGUCUGACCACAGUGCAGUGAUCGAUACUUAUAGGCUGAAUUGAAUGACAGAAAGUUAUGAUCUCUUGGUACAGGUUUUUCCUUCACGAAAGAAACCAAUUCUGCAGAUAAAUUUAUUCCUGAAAUGAAAAACAUAACAAGACGUUUCAGUUGACUAACUGUUGAAAAUGAUAAUGUGCACAAAUCCUCUAUGCAGUAACACAAUUACAUCAACAAUCGACUUGAGGAUAAAUGCAAUCGAGAGCAAAUUGAAGCUCCUCUACUCUAAUAACUUUAACAUAAUUAGUUUUCUCAAUAUUCAAUAAUUCGAGACAAUAUUCAUGAACUGUAUGAUCGGAGGAAAGUAACCUGGUGAAGAACUAGAAGAACAGAGAUGCAAUAUGAAAAGAAGUAAAAUGAUUACAGUCUACAUACCUUUUGCGGCAGCUAGAGAAAAUGAAGCUUCCAUGGCGGAAUUAUGAAGAAAAGGAGAAUGUUGAGUUCAAGAAAAUAAUUUAAAUGGAAACUAGAAACUCCAUGGAAACUGAUUAAUCCAAGAGAGACUCAAGAGCUCCAAGCAUCAUCAACCAUAUCCAUGAUUCUCACUGCCUUUCACGGCGUUCUGAAUUGAAGACAGAGAUGACGGUCGGCUCAACCGAACCACCAAAUUGCGAACCGGUUGACUCCGUCGAAAAAGGUAGUGUGCCACGUUACGCUCAACCCAAAUAUCGCAUAAUCUGAUAUUUUGAAUCUAAUUGUUAAAUCAAUUUAGAUUUUAACGGGCCUCAUUCAUGGGCUUAUCGUCUGUCCUUCGACUUUGUUAGUAGGCCCAUUGAGUUUACAUCCACAAUAAUGAACCUAAAAUUGCUUUCUUUAAAAUUACGCUUUUAGAUUCUAGUUAUGAGGAUAGAUAACUUCUUUUAAAAAAACCAAAUUUAUUAUUUAAAGUUAGAUAAAAUAACUUAAAAUUAUAAAACACUUACUCCAAGAACCAAACUUUUUGUCAAAACCAAUAAAUAAAAAUGCUCAUCAUGAAAAUCUAUAUCAAGAAUAUCUAUUAUUAUCUUGAUAGUUAGAAACGUAAAUCUUCUUUUCUUAUUCUUAAUCUAUUUUAAUUGGAGCAUCUUAGCAUUUAUAAAAUAUAGUAAAAAAAUUAUAAAUUUUAUUAUAUUUCAUAAUAGAUUAGUGAUAUUAGUAACAAAACUUAGAAAAACAUAAUUCAAACUUAACUUAAAUACUAAACUAGUUAUUUUGAAUAAAUAUUUCAUAAUAGAUUCACCCUAGUUUGACCAAUCACAUUGACAACUAUUUGAUCUUAUCAUAUUUAAUUUUUUAUAUUUUAGGUAAGAGACCACUCAUAAUUUAAAUCUAUGUCUUAAAAAAAGAAAACUCUUUUUUAAAAACUAAGGCCACAUGUUAGUAGGUCCUAUGUUUUGAUCAAAACCCCAAAAAUCAAGGUUUUUUUUUCCCUCCAAUUAUUAAAAAUAAAAUUUCUAAAAAAUUAAUCCCACCCACAUGAAAAACUGCCACCAACCUACCCCACAUCCCCCCCAAAGUCCAAAGAUACAAUACGCCGUCGUUUUCCUAUUCUAUACAUUAAACAAAAGCAUGGGUCUUUCAAAUAAUUGGAUUGAAAAAAAAAACUAUAGCAAUUUGCGUAAUUUUAAUUAUUUUAUUAAAAAAGAAAAAGAACCUUUUUUUUCUUUUUCUUUUCUUGCUUUAAAUCUGACCCAAGAAUCAUAGUAUCAUGAUGAUUAAAUGAUCUUACACACAGCCAAAUCCUCCAAUACUUUUGAUGGGUCCAAUGAUUUAAUGAAAGUUUAAAGAGAGCACUUAACUUGGCUCAUAUGUGACAACCAGAAUUAAAUUGAAAAAAUAUAUAUAUUAUAUUAUACACAUGAGAAGUAAAGUUCAACUAUUUGAUUAUAUAUAAUAUAUAUAUCCAUGACCAUAUUCUAAAAAAGAAAAAAUAAAAAAUAAAACUAUAUAUAUAUAUUCCUUCCCCCCCCACUACCUAGCUAGCUUCUUGCUUUUUGUCUACCUACCAUCUAUUAAUAUAUUUUUAUAAUUGAUUUUUGGACUAAGAUUCUCUCUCUCCAAACAAAACAAGCAAUUUCUUUUUCUUUCUUUUUUUUUCUCUCUUUCUUUUGGAGUUAUUAAAUUAUUCCAAUGCAUUGUUUGGAUCGAAAAGAAGCUUUGAGUUUGCGUUGACCAUGAUCUCGGAGGCGGACCACAGACGGGCGGCCUCCGACGGGCUGCCAGCCAGCUUGGACGGUGACGAUUCGUUGCAGUCGACGAAAUACUUGCCGGUGACGUGGCGUAGCCUCGGAUUUGUCGCCACGUAGCAUGUCGUUGCCGCCGCCUGUGGAAGGAAGGAAAAUCAGAAAUGGCCUUUGUGUCAGUUCUUUUACUAUAUAGCCUUUUCUUCUUUCUUUCCUCGGGAAAUUACAAACAGAAAAUGUAAACUAAUAAUCACAGUAAAUAAAAAAAAUGGAAGUUUGGGUUGUAUGUAUACCUGAGGUAUUGUCUUCAAGAGCUUGGAAGCCAUGAAGAACACCAAAUCUGCAAUACAUGGUUUUAAAAACAAUAGAUUAAAAUUUAAAUGUACUAUGUAGCGUAUUCAUUAAAAGAAAGAAAAAAAAAGAAAGUUCAUAUACCUGUGAUGAAGCCUUCACGAUCUCUAGUAAGUCGAGUUCUGACGAUUCCGGGAUGGACGCAGUUCACCGUAACAUUAGCUCCCAUUUGCUAAAUCAAAUAAAAUAAAUAUUUGAUUAAAAAAAAGUUUAGAUUAAGAAGAAAAAGAAAAGGAGAGAGUUAAUAUAAUAAUAUGAAGAUUAAAGAACCUUGAAUCGGCGAGCAAGUUCGUGGGUAUGAAGAACGUUGGCAAGUUUAGAGAGCGCGUAAGCACGUGUCGCAUCGUAAUUCCUGCUGGGAAUCCCACCCACAUUAACUGUAUUAGAUCAUUUAAUUAUACAUUACUUCUCAUAAAGUCAAAUCUCAUCCUCUCUUUUAUUACUCUAUUUUAUACAAAAACAUUCAUUUAGUUUUUUUUUUCUUUAAGAUUAUUAUGAUCAUUUGUGAUUAAAGAGUUUGGUUGAUUGUAAUAAAUAUAUGGAGUGAAUUUUUUAAAAAAUUAAUUAAAAAACUUUGUCCAUGAAUUGUAAUAAAGUGACCAUUUUAUUACAAUUUUUAAAGAUCAAAAUAAUCACUUUUAAAUGGUUCAAAUUUCAUAAAGAAACUAAAUACUUUAUUUCAAAUGAUUUCUUUUAAAUACAGCAUAAAUUUAUUUAAGUUGUUUUACAUGUGAAAAUAGUUUUUCUUUUAUUCAUAAUAAUACCUCCAAAGAAAAUCCACUAAAAUAAUCAAUCAUUUAUUUACUAUUUUAACUAAGAAAGAACCAAAUAGUAACUUUUGCGACUAUAGUAACUGAAGGAAAAAUAGUUAUUGUUUUCUUAGUUAAAAAAAGUACAAAGAUAAAACCUUCACCCUCUAGAAAAUCGUUUUGGAAAUAUAUGGAAUGAAAAUGAACUUUUGUUUUUAAAAAUAAGAUCAGUACAAAAAGAAUAAAAAAUAAAAAAGCUUUCAAUAUUAAAUACAUACCUUUUAUUCCGGCUAAUCUGGCCGAGAUAUUUGAGGAUAUCGCCGGAAAACCAGCCAUGAAUACUCGACGAAACGUUCACAAUCCGGCCCUCAACCCCUGUCACUUUCGCCGUCUCCACCAUCUUAUUCACCAACAGUUUCGUCAACAGAAAAUGCCCUGAAAUUAUUUCAUUACGUUAAUCAAUAUAUCCCCUUUUUCUCCCUAUAAAAAUCUCAUAAAUAAAUUAUCAUCAUUCAAACAAAAAAAAAAAGUUACCCAAAUAAUUAGUAGCGAAUGUCAUCUCUAUCCCAUCCUCCGUUAUUGCAUGCUCGUGCGAGAAUUUCCCCGCAUUGUUACUAAAACCCAAACAAAAAAAGAAAAAAGAGUUCAAUACCAUAGAGAUCGACCAAAUUAGCAAUUUUUUUGCAAAAAAAAACGAAGGUGUGAUUAGGGAAUUUACAUGAGGAGAUUAAGCGGGAGAUUAAGGGAUUCAAAUUGAGAAACAAAGGUUCUAACAGAAGACAAAGAGCUCAAAUCGAGUGACAUAACAAUAAUCUCGGAAUCAGAGCAUUCCGACUCAAUCCGAGCCUUGGUUUCUUCAGCGGCUUUAAUGUUCCGCGACGGGAGGAUUAAACGAGCCCCACGUUUUGCAAGAAUCCGAGCCGUCUCAGCUCCAAUCCCUGAUGUGGCACCUGAAGUAAAAAAGAUGGUUAAAAAUCCCUUUUAUUCAUGAUAACGAAAGAAGUUAAAGUUGAAGUUAGUUACGUUACCGGUGAUGAUGGCGGUGAAGGAAGGAGGGAGGGAGGCGGUGACGUGUUCGGCGGUAGAUUUGGAGCCGAAGCCGGAGGGGCCGGGGGAGCCGGAGAGGUAGUUGAAGGAGAGAAGCAUGUUAUUGUUUUCCUUUUGUUUCUUCAAUGGAGGGGAUAUCGAUCGAUGUCAGAAAUGGCAGGUCACGCCGUUGUUCAUCUGUCAAUUUUGAGCUAAGAGAAGGGGGGUUGGGUUUGGGUUCGGACUGUAAUUUAUAAGGCAGGAUGAGAGAGAAUGAAAUAGGUGGAUAACAUAUUUGUCAUUUUAGUAUGAGAGACUGUGAGGGAGAGGGAUUUGUUUAAUUUAUAUAUAGGGUAAUUGGGAGCUUCCAUUUAUUUAUUUAUGUACUUUUCUUUCUUUCUAUAAUGUAAUUAUGAUUUUUUUUUAGAUUGGAUUGUUGAUCUCUCCCUUAUCGUUUUCUUUUCCACUUUAUUGUCAAAAAAAAAAAAAAAUCAUUAAAAAAAAAUGUUAAUAGAAUUCACAUCAUUCCUAAACAUCUAUGGAAUAUUGUUAAAUAAAUAGUUUUCUUUUUAUUGUUGAAAACUGUACACUUAAUUUAUCAUGUAAUUUGACAACUUAGUGAAGAUGAUGGUGCAAGAUGUAUUUAAGCUAAAUUUGAUGGAUUUAUUUAUAAUUUUGUGUUUUAGAAAACUUUAAAGGAUAAUAAUUUCAAUGCAACAUUUUCGAUUAUCCUUCGUAUGAAAGGGACUAGGUUAAUAUUACUAUGUAUAGAAUUUUGUAAAUAAUAACAAAAAAGAGUUUUUUUUUCUUUUUUCUUUAACAACAUUUUUCUUUUAACAUAAAAAAGGUCAGAAAAAGGAAAAUAUAUCGUCCAAAAAUAUUAAUUUUAAAAUAGAUAUAUUAUUUAGAAAAAAGAAAAAGAUCACGCCACAUAUCAAAUCAUUUAACAUAUUACACAGUAGACUAUAUAAACAAUACCUAACUUUAUAAUUCAGACUUAGAAUUAGAACUUUAAAGGUUUUAUAAAAUAAACAAAUUUGAAGAAAUUACUUUAUGUUAUGAACACUUGAAUCUACUUUAAUAUUUGAAAAAAAAAAACAUUACUUUUAUUCGAAACAGAACACUAAACUUGAAUUUUUAAUUUAUAGCUUGAAAAAAAGUUUCAUACGCAAACUUUUAAUUUUCUUAAAAUAAUGUUUAGUUAAAUUUUGAAUUAUGAAAGUUGACACGUGGCUAUUGCCUUUUUCACUUUUUUUUUAAUAUUGAAAAAUCUCAAGAGCCUUUUUUGUAUAUCUAGCUAAAAACGACGACGUUCCAAUUCACUUUGACCUAAUAAAAGCUUUUCUUUUUCUUUUUUGGAUAAAUUUCUCUACUUUUUUUUUUAUUUGCUUUUAUGUGAUUUUAAUAUAUAUGGUCACUUUUAUAAUGAAUCCUAACUUGAUUAACCAUUAAAGAAAAGCUAGCUAAGGGACAUUACAAUUUACAAAUUAAAUGUUUGGUUUUUCCAUAUUAUUCCAAAACCAUAGAUUUUAAAGAUGUACAAUCACUUUACAAUUCACCUUUUUCUUUUAAUUCUAUGAUGAUCUUCAAGGAUUUGGCUCAUAAAAAGUUGAUGUUUUAUGUUGAAUAUCUGGUUUAGGGUAGGCUUCUAUUAAGCUCUACUUUGCGUACUUCUUACAAUUUUUUAAAGUUGUAUAUUUUACUAUUUAAUAUAUUUUCCAAGUUUAUUAUAGUUUCGUCAAAGGUAUAUUUUAGCCUUAAAAUUACAAGUUCCUUUUUUUUUUCAAGCAAAUUGUCGUAUUAGUUCUACUUAUUCGAUUAAGCUUUGAUUCUAUAAAUGUGUAUCCCAUUUAACUUGUAAUGAGAUACAUUUAAUUCAAGUAAAGGGUUUUGAGAUAUUUGAUAUCUAAUAUUUGUGAAUUACGGUUAAAUUAUACUUAAUUACGUCCACAACAUAUUUAUUUAUUAUUAGUUGAUUGUGAAUAUACAAAUAUUAUGGAAGGUAGUUUUUCUAUUUUUUUUUAUAAAAUAGCUAUAAUUUUUUUAAAAAAUAAAAAUGAGAAUAAUGUAUAAAUUUUAUGUUAAAUCUUAAUAAAUGAAUCAAUUUAAUCUUUAGGCAUAUAAUUCCAUCUACCAGACAAAAUAAUCGUGGGAAAAAGGUUAUAACUUUAAAGCUUUUUCUUUGUUGGUUAAGAUAAUAUUCAAAAGAUUUAUCACUUUUAUAUUUUAUAUUUUAUUCGAAUUAUUUCACUCUAUUAUUCUAAAAUAUAGCUAUUUAGAAAUUAUGUACAUCUUAUCUUUAUUAAUAUUUGAAGAUAAAGAUAACAUGAGUUACAUUUUAUAUAAAAAGGCUUUAAAGUUUUAAUUAGGGAUUAUAAUAGAAUAGAACAAAAUCACAAAAUUAAUAAAACGAAAUUAAGAAUUUUAAAGAGAGAAUGAUGGGAAGUUGAUUGGGGAAGAGGAAGGAGAUUAGUGGGAGACUGAUUUAAGAGGGAGGUGGGAAAAAGAGUGGAAGGGGGAGUCGCACUCGCACGUGAGGGUUUGUUUGGAUCGGCUGGAAUGGUCAAUUCCACGGCCUCGAUUCCCUAAAAAUAUAUACCGGGAGAAGGAAAAAUGCCAGCUGGCUAAUCAUUAAUCGCCAAAAAGGCAUCUUUUAUUUUUUACUUAUUAUAUUAUUAUUAUUAGAAUACAACCACAUGAAAUAGUUGUCAUCCCAAUAAAUAAUAUUAAGCAAAUUUCGAAGUUUCUUUCACCCUACUACUAAUAUACUUGGUUCUUGGAUCAUUAAUGUGGGACUAAAUAUAUUUAUCAUAUUAAUCCUUAUUAUUAUUAUUAUUUUCCAUACAAAGAUGUUUUUACUUCAAAAAAAAAAAAAAGUUGAAAAAUGAAGCUUAAGGAAGUGUGGAAAACAUCUUUUAAAUAUGUGGUUGUCUAUUCAAUCUUUUUAAAAUGUUGUUGGAUGGAUGGAUCUUAGUCCAUUUCUAAAUUUACAAAAUAAUAAAUUUUUAAAAUAAAAAGUCUUGGCUUUUUCUUUUGAGUUUCUUAAAUAUAUAUUUGUAAAAAAAUAGACAACAUAACAAACAAACUCAUAAAUACCAUGGAGUCUUAGGUUUAGCUUUUUUAUUUUUCAAAGAAAAAGAAAAGGUCAAAUUGUAAUAUGUUAUUUAUAAGUUAUGUUUUUAUAUAUAUAUCAUCCACCUUCUUAUUGUUUUUCCAAAAACUAAACCAAUUUUUUAAUAUAAAAAAGAAAUAAACAAAGUGAAAGUUAUUCGAAAAAAGUUUAGUGAAAAUAAGUAUAAAUAAAUAAUAAAAAAAAAACAUUAUCGUAGCAUGCCUUAGGGUUUAAAAUUUAGGUUUCUAAUGUAUGGAUCGUCACAUUGAAAUUUAAAUUUAUGAUAAUAGUAGUAAUAAGUUCAACACUUUUAGUUGAUUAUGGGAUUAUAAGAUAUGAAUCAAAACAUUAAAAGUUUGGAACAAAUUAAGUAGGAUUAUAGACAGUUGGUAUAUAUAUAUGAAGUAUAUAUCGAUAAUUAAGAGUAAAUUAUGAACUCAUAGGUAGCCUCCACUUAACCUUCAACUAAGUCAAAUUUACAAGAAAAAAAUAACUAUUAGCAUAAAUAUCUCAAACUCAUUGUUUAGCUUUCAAAUUAAAUAUAACAAAAUUUCAUGUACUAUUGAUAACAAAUAUUAAUAGAGAUAACUCUAUAAACUAUCAUAUAUAUCAAAUUUUAUUGUAUUUUGUAAAUAUAUUUAUUAUUAUUUUCUUACCAUAAACAAAUUAUUUAUUUAUUUAAUUUAUUGAGAACUAUUAAAAUCAUAGGAUAUUAUUGUUUCUCUGCGUAUACUUGUAUUAUUUAAAAAAGUAAAACUCUACUUGCAUUCAUUAUUGUUCUAUGAUUGAUAAAUAUAUGUAUAUUGAUGGGUCUUCUAAGUUUCAUAUCAUAUAUAUAUCCAUGGGACCUUAUAUUAGAUCUUUUGAAAAAAUGAAAUUGAGAUCUAUACUUCUCUUUUCUUAAACUAGCCUUUUCAAUGACCCACGUUUACAUUGAAAGCAUUGCGGGCUUGUAUCAAUAUUUAUUCUUUCUCAAUGAUUUCUUUCAACAUUGGUUAAUUAAGCUUUCAAAAAAUAAAAAACCAAAAACUUUACGUUCAAAAUAUAAUAAAUUAUUUUAUAUAUAAAAAAAUUAAGAUGAAAAGUAAGAUUUGUAUUAAAAUUUCAUUUAUUUAUUUUAGUAUAAAAUGAACCAAUUAUGUCAACCUCAACUUUUUAAUCUAAAAAAGAGUGUGAACAUAUCAAAAUAUGAAACACUCUUUAAUUAAUUUAUUUUCCUUUUUUAGUACAAAGUUAAACAUUAAAAAAAACCUCUUGAUUUACAAUACAUACAUAGGUUAAUUGAAUUAAGCUAUUUUGUCUAUUUUUUUCAAAAAAAUCCAUAUAUAUAUGUAGAAGUAGAACUAAAAUUUUCAUGUAUUAAAAGAAGACAACAGCACAAUUUCAAAAUAUAAUUCAUUUAUUGAAUGGAAAUUUUCAUCUUUAUAUAUAAUAUAUUAUUGAAUAUUGAUACAUUAUUGAAAUUAAAAAGGAAAAAAAGAGGAAAAAGAAAGAAAGGAAGAAGGGAAUUAUUAAAUGAACAUGUCACAUGUCGCAUGUCACGUGGGCAUGCAUGUGUCACAAUCUAGUAGCCUUCAUUCUUUCAUUUCACUUUAUUAGGUUUUUAUUUACGUCCUAAAAUCCAAAACUCUCCAAGGUUUUCUUCGUAAUUACACAUUCCCUUUCCUUUUCUUUUCUUUUUUUGAAAAAAGAAUUAAACAACUAUUUUCCGCUCUAAACUUUUCACAAAAUAAAUUAUUGCUUACAUUUCUCCCUCCAAAUUAAUCAAUAACUACAAAUUCACUUCUCAUAAUGAGUGAUUAUGCCUCUAAACUUGUGAUCAAUCUUAAACCCAAACUUUUAAACUACACCUUAAAUUUGAAUAAUGAUUACCAUCACAACUUUAAUAAGUUGUUUAUUUCAAUUAUCUUAAAAAUAUACACGUUUCUAACUUGUCCAAUAAAUCAUAAAACAUUCAUCUACACUGUAAUACAAGUCACAACAUUUAAAAGAAAACAAUACUAAAGUUAACUUCUAGUUAAAAUUUAUGAAAUAUACAAAGUUUUUUUUUUACUUGAUUCAAAUCUCUAACUCAUGGUCUACAAUUUAUACGUUUCUUACUUGUAAAACUUUAAAAAAGUUAUUCGAUAGUUAGUUUGUAAAAACGUAGCAAAUUAAAAUGGAGAGUGAAAGUUUGAAAGGUUUAGAAUAAUCUGAAUGAAUAAGAAAAAAAGGGUUUAAUAUUUUAAAUGAUGUAUGUAUUAAUUGUAAGAAUUUUGUUUUAGGUAGAAAGAAAUAAAAGGUAAUUGGGUGGAAGUGGUAGGGACGUUUUAGAAAAAAAGGAAGAAAUGAAAUGAUUUAAUAUUUUAUGGCUAAGCAAAAGUUUGAAAAUAAAAAAAGAAAAAAAAGAAUCAGCUUUAUGGAGCACUUCCCUCAGGAACCCGUGCCCUAAGGAGGGGACCUAAUUGUGACAUCAUAUUCUCUCUACUCCAUAAUAUCCAUCCCUUUUAUCUUAUUCUCCACCGGGGCUGGGCUAUCAUAUUAUUAUUACCUCCCACCACACCCUCUCUCUUUUCUACAACCUUCUCUUUUAUAUGCCACCUCCCCCUCCCUCUUUCCUUUUCUCUUCCCCACCCAUUGCAUUCUUCUUGUUUUCUUUUACUUUCAUUUCAAAUAAAUAAUUUCAUACACAUAUAUAUUGAAACAAAGAUUUUAAUAUGAUAUUAAACUUUAUAAUCAUGAAAUUAUAUACGUGAUCAUGACAAUUAAUAAUUGACCAAUCAUGUGCCUAAACUAUAAACUAAACCAUAGUCUAUAUAAAUUAUCAAGCCAGGCUAGAAUAUAUCUUGGAAAUAGAACUAAAAUCAAUAUGUUUGACUUUGAAAACUUGGUGGAAGAUAAAUGAGGUAGAGGUGGUUGGUUAAGAAACAAAUUAUUAUCAACACCAAUCAUAUAUAUAUAUAAUUAAUCAAUCAAAAGCUGCCCAAUAAAUUAGUUUCAUUUUAACACUGCUUCUUUAGGUUAAUUUUCUUUUUUUUUUUCAAAUUAUAUACACUUUUCUAACUUCAAAGAGGGUGGGGUAUGAAAUUUAAACUUUUCCUCUUGAAAAAAAUGUUUACUUAGAUAUAGUUUAGUAGUCUACCAUUUGUUUCUUUUGUGUACAACCAUAUUGAAAUAGUUAUAUAUGUUUAAAGUUUUAGGAUAGAUUUAGUUUAGCUUUUUAAGUGUUUAAUUUUGAAAACAAUACAUUUAAUAAUAACUCAAAUUGAAAGGUUAUUAAUUUUCUUAUUUUAUCAAAGGUGUUCAAAGUAAAAAUGAUUUUUUGAAAAAUUAAUUUGCUAAAUUUUAACUUGGAUUUUGAGAAUUAGAAAGAGGGUUUAUAAAUUCAGUUUUUGAAAAUUAAAUAGUUAUUUAAGAAAGAGUUUUAAGUCAUGUUUAGGAGUCAGUUUUGAUUUUUAGUUCUUAAUUUUUAAAAUGGUGCAUCUUCACUUUUUUACCGUAAUUUUCAAAAGAAAAAUAGGUUUUUCACCAUAAUUUUCAUAUUUUAUAACAUAUAUUUGUAUUCUUAAUAAAAUUUUAGAAGAAAAAUGUUAUGCUAGAAUAUUGAAAUUCACAAAUCUUUUAUAGUUCUAGUUUAGCGUUUAAAUAAUAGUUUGGUAUGUGAUAAUUUUUUUCUUCAAAAACUCUUUAUGUUUGUUUUUUUACAAUUUUGGGAUGGGUUGCAAAGAAAAUGAAUACAACGUACAUGCACAAAAUUGUUCCUUUUACUGUGUUCAAUACAUUUCAACAACUAACAUUUUCAAAAUACAUACCUAAUUUUUUUAUAUAAAAAAUACUGUUUUUUUUUUCUUUUUGAAUCUUGGCUAAAUUAAAAUUCAAAUGUUAUCUUACAGAAGUUGGAAGAAAACAAACAUAUUUUUUCAAAAAUCAAGAAAAAUAAUUAACAAAUAGAUACGUUUUCUUUGGUACGUGAAUUACCGUCAAAUCAAACUCAUUUUAAAAUAUUCAAUUUUUCUUAAAACUUUAUUUUGAAUUUAAAAUUUGAAAGUAACACCGAAAUAGGUAGAUAUUAAGAUAUUGGUGGGGCAACCUAAAGAAUUAAGGAACAAAAUAGCACCAAGAAAGAGGACAAAAGAGGUUUAGUUUUAAUUAACAAUGAUCAAUUAAUUAAUGAACCCCAUGAUCUUUUCUAAAAACACACUAUCAUUAAUUAAUUAAUCACAUUAAUUUGCAUAGUAAUUGAGGAUAAGCACACCUUGAUACAUACACACACACACUAACAAAGCCUAAAUCAAAUUUGAUUCUAAAUAAGAAAACAUUUAUUAAUGUUUUAAAGGCAAAUAAAGUUAAUAAAAAAGAUCACAUUAUAAAUUAAAUAGCACCAUUAAAAUGAAGCAUCCUAACUCCACUAACACAAGAAAAAAAUGAAAUUAAUUUAGUAAUAGUGGAUUGUGAUUUGUCUCCAAGAUAUGGAAACAGGCCAUGGAAUCCCAAAACUUGGAUUUUUUGUGUGUCUUUUUCCUAAAACCAUCAUUAAUCCCUAAUUGUUUGUGUGUUUAAUUAGCCAACUAUCUUUGACUAAUCUAAUCUAUUAAUUCUAAUCUAGGGUGAAGAAGAGUGAUUUGUAAGAUACCUAUAAAGAAUUUUGUAGUGGAUGGCUUUGUUUCAUGUUGGUGAUUUUAAAAUAAUAAUAUCUGUUUUUAAUAUAAUAAGGUAUUUUCUUUUUCAAAUUUUCCAUAUGUUUCAUCCACGAUUUGUUAGAAAAAUUGUGUAAUAAUUACUAUAAUACAUGAUAAAUUUUAAAUUGUAACGGUUCCGUUCCAAGAUUUAAAUUUAAACUUGGUAUAUGAUGAUUGUCUGAAUAUUAAUUAUCCUUCAACGGCUUCUAAGAUCUAGUCACUCUUACUCGCCUUCGAGACUACUUCUAUUUUGUUAGUAUAUAUAAUAACUCAAUUUUGAUGAACCCUGGUACCGAUUUAUUUACGUAGUUUACUUUUACUCGAGCAUUAUAUUACAUGAAUUCAUUUUUAUAUAUUAUGUUUUUGUCUUUUUAUUACCAUUGGAAAACCACUUUCAUCUUGACCACAAUUUUUUUCCCUUUAUAUGUUAUUUCAACAUAAACAAAACAAGAGAGAAGUAAAAGUUACACGUACUAACUUGGAUGAGGUUGAGUUUCAAAGUAAAUUAGAAGCGUCUUGAAACCAUAAAAAAUAGAGUUGCAAUGUGAAAAAGCUAAUAAAAAGUAAAAUUGAUAUUUAUCAAUCAUGAUGCAUGUCUUACCACAAACUUCGUGAACUGAUCAACUUCCAUCACUUUAUUAGCCAAACACUUCAUUCAUAUCUUUAAAGUUCUUAAUCAAACUUUAAAGAUCAAAACUAAUUAUAAGUUUAAGAAUCAAAACUAUUAUAGGUCAUAAUUUAAGCUUUAUAUUGGUACCAAUUUCUUAUAGUCUUCUAUUUUUUUUUUAAUGUAUUCUUGUUUCCUCUUUAUUUUUUAUUAUAAUUUUUAUUUUAUGAGAGUAACAAUUAAAAUUUGACUUAAUUUUAAAAAUAUUAAUAUAGCAAUUGCCACAAUUUGAUGGUCACACCUUAAGUAUAUGGUCAAAAUGAUUAUAUAAUGAAUGUCUUCAACCAUUUUACUAAACUCAAUUUCUCAUUUGGUAAUUUAUUUCCACUUCUCUUUUUCCCCCAAGUUCUUAACCUAAACAUAGUUAAUGAAACAAACCCACUAAGUUCUCAUAUAAUAAUAUCUCAAAAGCAUAGGUUAUAUAUACAUAUAAUAUAACACAAAUACAUAUAUAAACAAAGCUUCAAUAAUUGCCACUAAGUACACAUUUUAUGUGGAGAGGGGGGGCUACGAAUCUUUGAAGGGUCCCUCACCCUUGAAAUUAGGGUUUUUGGGACCUAAUUUUUUCAAUCCCCCUUUUGCUCUAAAUUAUUGAAUAACAAAAUACCAUGCAUCUUCUUUCAUUUAAUAUCAAUUAAUCAAUUAAUAUAGCAAAAGUUUUUGGUUUUUUCUUUUAAGUAUUUGAUUUUAAAAUAAUAAUGUUAUGAAAUGUCAAUUUGUUCUGCAAAAACGGUUGAUGGGUUUAAUAAUUUGAUUGGAAAUGGAAGAAUUAGAUGUGAAUACAAACAAAAUAAAUUAUAAUUAAUUAUUGAAAGGGUUAUGUUUUUGGAUGAUUCCUCCUUUGUUUAUGGAAAUUGUCCCACUUGAGUUGCAUUUGUAUUACCUUUGGAAUCUACCAAUUGAUUCCUCAAUAUAUCUCUCUAAUCUAUAAUAUAUAUAUAUAUAUAUAUUACAUGUGUUCCAUUAUUGAUGGAUUAGAUUUGUGAAUUACAAAACUAACAGAGGUGGAAUCAUCCACUUUUAUGUUUAAUAUAAUAUUUUUCACCCAGGUGAAUGAUGUAUCGAAUUUCAAACAUUCAUACUAGAUACUAAUAAAAGAGAAUAAGAUUGCAUGAGUUUAAUACUCAAAAUUUCUUGGAUCCAAUACAAUUUUAAACAAACGAUUGAUACAAAAUUUUAAGUUUACGGAUGAAAGCAAAUUUAAUAUUAUAUCAUAUAACAAAUUUCAUUAAUAAGUCGAUUGAUUCAAUACACCUACUAAAUUGGAUGUUAUAUUGGUUUAAAUAACUUAAACAUAAUAGAAAUUUGGAGGUAAAAAGGAGAGUUUAUAUAAGGUAUUUUUCAAAAAUCUAAAAUGAAAAAAAAAAAAGUUGAAUUUUUCUAUUCUAAUUCUUCUAAGAAAGUUUAAUAAACACCAUAACAUAAAUUCGAUUGUUCUGCCAUUUUUUCCCCAAUAAUUAUUCUCUUCAUAAAUGCAAUUAAACUUCAAACUUUCCACUUUUUUCUAUACAAAUCCAAAUUGAAAAUAAUGGAAAUAGUCCAUUUAUGAAAAUAUAAUAUAGAGUAUGAUGUAUUUGACAUAGAAGGGUGUGUUAAACCAUUACUUUCAUAUAAUAUAAAUGAAGUUCAUCAUAUAUGGACAUAUCUAUUUUGAUGUAAUAGUACAUGUGUAUGGAGAGAUAGCAAUAUCUAUUAUCUAAUGAAUGUAGUAAUCAAUGACAAAGUGGUUUGACAAUAUAGUAGACAUGAUUUGUGAUAGACAGAACCCAUAUAUCUUUGAUUAUAAACUUUAAAACCAUAUCUUUAUAGAAAUAAAUAAACCACUCACCUAUAUAACUAAUGAUGUAGUUUUUCUUUACUUUAUAUGUCCGUUACAAAGAAAACGAUCAAAUUGGGCCUUUUGUAUUGGGCUUCAAAAAUAAUUAGUAUUAAUAUCCAAAGCCCAAUAUCUAAGCUCCGUAUCCUCAACUUUGGGCAAAAGCCCAACAGAACGCCGGAGAUUAGAAAUCAUUGGAUAUUUUAAAAUUAUUUUUAUGUUAAUUAUUUUCUUUUAUGGGUUUUUUUUCUCUUAAAAGUAUAAGACAUAAUAUUUACACGCAGGAGUUUUGAAAAUGGAAAAAGUCUACGUGCCAACAAUAAAAAAUAUAAAAAAUUGUAAUGUAAACCUGCUAUUAAUUAGACUUAGCUGCACAAUCAUUUAUAUUUGAGUUUUUUAGAUUUAGUACCAAAUCAAAAUGAUUUUGAUUUUAAAGUCCGCUCAUAUAGGAUCGUUUGAGAAAAAAAUAAAUCUUUUAUAUUUGAUACACGAUCUUGAACCAAAUAACAAUUUGAAAAAAAAAAAAAUUGCACAAGAAGACAAGAAGAAGAUGGUAGUGAAAAGAAAAAUUAAGAAUAUAAAAAGAAAAAGAAAAAUUGGGUAGAUGGAAAUAAAUGACCUUGAAAUGUUUAUAAAAAAAUAGUCAACUUCAUGAAUUUUUGUUUAAAAGAAAGUCAAAUAUUUUCUUUCUUUAUUUUAUAAAGUUAGUAAAUGUGAUAAUCAAUGAAAAUGAAUUGAUUUUCUAAUACCGAAUAAAGUUAAGGUGGAAUCGAAUGAUACUUUUAGAAUGGAAUGUUAUGUCAAUUGACACUGACGUGAGCUUGAUUUAUUUUAAAAAAAUUCAAAUUUAUAAAUUUAAUCUAUUAAAAGUAUAUAAUUUUUUUAAAUUUAUAAAUGUAUUAGGCACAACUAAAGUUAUAUUAAUCAGAAAAUGAAAAGAAAGAUACAUUAGUUACUCUUCAAAGUUCAUAGUUCAUGGACAAGAAGAUGAAUCUUUGUUAAAUCAUACUCGAAUUGAUUGGUAAGGCAAAUAUUUAGAGUAAAGGCUUUACAUUUAUUGCAAUAUUAACAAUAUAUUAUACUUCCUAAACCUCAUAUAUAUAUAUAAAGAAGUAACUCCCUCCAAUUAAGGGACACUUCUCUCUAAUUUGUGGGGACAACUACAACUCAUACAAACAAUACCCAGCUUUGAAAACUAACUUUAAACACUCUUAUGAUUUGCAUCAUCUGUCAACGAAGACAUAUGUGCAAACCAUAGAGGUUCAAAACUAAUUUUAAGAAACAAAAUAUGAUUUGUAGAAUUUACAAUCAUCCCUUUUAAGAUGAACUGAGAGUGAAGAACCUAAAGAAUAUAUUAUAUCCUCUAAUCCCAAGAGAUGAAUGGUGAAUCUUGUGGUGUUUAAGAAGGUAAAUAGCAGUCUAUCUUUUGAUCUUUUGGCCAUCCAAACUCUUCAAGGAAUGCCAACACAACACCAUUUGACCAUCCAAAGCCAGUCUACAUUCAAAUACAAACACCAAACAGAACGAUAAGCAAAAACUUUAAUUGAAUUAAGUCUCAUUUGAUAACAAUUUUAAUUUUUUGUUUGUUUUCUCUAAGAUACUAUAUUAUCGUUUUCAUAAUCGUGAAAGUAGUGUUUCAAAGAUUAAUUUUAAAAAAGGAAAGGCAAAAAAGAAAAGAAAGGUCAGUUGAAUCAGAUACCUGAGGGACGUAUUCACCUCCUCCACCAAAGCCUCCACACUUUUGGACAUCAUAUUUCUCAUGCAUAAAUCCUGUGUGCUUGUAAGCUACAUAGUUGGUUCGGAGCCAUCUGGCGGCGAUGUCCUCGGCCAAUGCCUUUGCUUCUGGCAGUUCAGACCUUGCCAGUCCCUCGACAAUCAUGUGUUGGAUUGGUGCCCAACCGUUCGGGAAAUCCCUUUUGUUUUACAAAAGGUUUCAGCAUGAACAUCAAACAAAGAGAUUUAGAAGAAAGAAAAAGACCAGUGCGAGUACUACUAACCAUUGUUCCCCCGAAUUAAUCAUGGAAGUUGCAAUCCCAGCAUUGCAUAACAAGCCUGAGUUCCGUAAACUUUUCAAAACUUUCUUCAUUUGUCUGCUAUCUGCAUAUAUAAAAAGAAAAAAAAGGAAAAAACAGACGAUUUAAAUUAAUCUUACCAUUCCUAAUCUAAACUUUCAAAGAAAUUAGGCUGAAAAAAUGCUAAUGAUCAAGAGGGAAUUAAUUACAAACCGGAGUAAAAUGAUUCGACCCACAAGGGAAUGAAGUUUGAAGCGUAUACGUUCUGGUUCUGGUUUCGAACAUCCCAUGAAUGAGCACCCUAAAAGCACCAAAAGUUUCGAUCAACUUAACUGCUAAAAGAAAACAUUCAAAAGCUGAGAAAUUUUCAGAAUUGUGUAGAGUAUUUUACCUUGUACGAGCCGUUAUCAAGCCAGUAAUCAAGCCAUUGUCCUUUCUCUGAAUUCCAAAAAAUAGAGUUGAUUGUCUUCUUUCUAACUAGAGAGGCCUCAAAAAAGUGUUCUGCCGUGCAGUAGUCUCCAACGGCUCUUGCCAAAUUGGAAAUGUCAAGUUCCAUCUGAAUCAAACCAUACGCAUCAGUUGUGCUAAUGGCAAUAAAAAGAAACGCCGAGAUCUUCGAAGAACUAAUCCAAACCAUACCUUGAGUAUGAAUACAUUGAGAUCAACUGGCAAGAUUGAAGUUGUAGCCAAUGUCGACAAGUCUGUCGAAUCCCUUUAAGAAGCAAACUCAAAAACAUUAAAAACUUCAUUGCUGUAAUACUUUAAAAACGAAUCAGGCUCUUAGCUCAGCAAAUAUAUUUAAGAUCUGAGAUCACAAUAUCUUGUACCUCAUCCAUCUUGAACUGAAAUCCCAACCGGAUUCGGCUGCUGAUGCGAUUUCCCGGUAUAGAUGCUUUUUUUCAUAGUUAUUCACGAACUUCGAGGCAACUUUCUCAUCCUGUCAAUAGUAAAUCAUAGAAUCAAACACAACGUUGCAUACUAUUAUUUCAAAUGCAGGCAAAUGGCAUCAAAGAAGAAAACGCACCACCAGCGAAGAUUCCGGCCUCGGUUCGUUCCACAUUGCAUAGUACCUAGACAAGGAGUGAUUUCCAUUUCCAUUUUGGACAGUAAUUGAAUGGAAUCCUAAAACCAAUAGAAAAAAACUACAUUAUAAUCUUACUAAAACUAAAUCUUUGAUUGAGUAAGAAACAUCGGUGUCUGGCUGUACCUGAAUUCCAAAACUUAUGCUCUUUGAUUAAAGCAGGGAGUGAAUUUCUCACAAACUCUAAAUCCCCAGUCCUAAGGUAUAUGUCAUAAACCAUGGAGCUCAAAAGGGGAGGCUGACUGCAAAAUGCAAUAAAAAGUUUGAUUAACAGUUCAAACUGUAUUCAUAAUCAAGUUAUUGCAAAGCAGUCCAAAAGUUGAUUUGUUUACCUUCUGUUAGUGUAAUAAGAUCUGGCACCAUUAAGAACAUGGCCAAACUCAUCGAUCAUUGAAAUUAGAUUAAUAACAAUUCCCUUAGCAGUAUCGUACAUUUUACUAGCUAACAAACCUCUGCAUAGAAAUAUAAAAAGAAAAAAACACUAUCAAUCAGAACAGUGCCAAGAAUAACAAAUUAGGUAAUAACCCCACUUAGUUUGUCAUAUCUCAAGAAAAUUUAAUAUAUAUAUCAUUUUCAUUCUACAGUAAAACUUCCCCUUUUUUAAUAAAAACAAUUCAAGCUAAACACUGUUUCUUCACCAAAUAAUAAAAGGGGUGAAACGACCAAAGAAAAGGGGUUAAACAUAGAUAAGAACGCCUUUCUUGGAAAAACAAUGAGUCAUCAAGUUUUGUCAGGGUACCUGAUAAUCCAAUAAGAAUCCCAAUAAUAAAUUUCCCGGAAUCUUGAUCCCGGAACGACAACAGGCUCAGGCAACGGCAGCAAAGUGUGGGUAUCAGGAUGAUGAAUGAGAUCAUCAGAGACUCUACGGCUAAGAUUCUUCCAAAAAUUAUGAAUAUCGAAAGCCCAAGCUCUAACUUCCACAUUCUCAACUUUGGGCAAAAACCCAUCAGGAUGAGGGUCAAAAUCGGCCGGAUUAGAGUAAACCAAGUCGGUUCCGGCACUAUCGAAAUAGUUCGAAAUGAAUGUCCUCAAAUUCUCAACGGAAACAGAGCCAUUGGAGGAUCGUUCAAGGGCAUCAAAAGCGAUUUGGGUAGAAUUCAAAUCGAAUUUCAAAGACAAAUCGACAUAAUAUUUAAGAUCAAAAUCCAAUUUCCCAAACGAAUUCAGAGCCACAACCUGAAUACGCUCAAGAAACUUAACGAGAUUGGGUACUGGAAUAACAGGGCCCUUAUCGGCGAGGCGUGGGGAAAAAACUUCCGGCAACGACGCGGCGGCGGGACGGAGUAAUGGCAUGAUGAGAAAGAAAUGGAAAAGGGUUAAUGAAGAAAAACGAAUGGGAGGAAGAUGGGAGUGAAGGACAGGCAUAUUUAUAGGGGAAGAAAACGCGGGGGAGGUGAAGUGGUGGUGACAGAAUGCAAAGUAGGAGAGAGAGAGAGAGAGAGGGAUUUGAGGCGAGGAAGAAGGUGAUGACUAGGAUUGAUGUGGGAAAUUUUUUGAUAUUCGAGUAGGAAUGAAGAAGAACAUGGGUAAAUGGAAAGUUUUUUCUUGAAGAAGAGAAAAGAACAGAGGGGGUUUGGCUGAAUUUGUGCCAAUGGGUUCUUCCCAAUUGCCAAAUUGUUUAACUUUUCUUGGAAACUUCUCUGUCUUCUUCUAAAAAGAUGAGAACAAAAAGUUAGAGAAAUGAUAAUAAACUAACAAUAGAGGAGCUGUUUGGAUUCAAGCCUUUUUCAGAUGCUUUUUGGAGGUUUUUUCUUGAAAUUUGAUUGAUUUUAGAGUUCAAUUUGGAGUUUGGUUUCUCUUCUUAGGUUAAAAUACAAUUCUUUUUAUCCUCAUAGUAUGAUCAAACCUAGUUCAUGUCCAUUAUUGAUAAUAUGAAGAUCACUUUUUUUUCAUCAAUUGAACUAAAUGAUUAUUAUUGGUUCGACCUCAAUUCACUUUUGCAUAUUCAUGACAAUUUUCAUCUAAUGAAAUACACAAUAUGAAUAUAUUUGAAUUUUCAUUUAAUGAAAUACACAAUAUGAAUAUAUUUUCAAAAUUUAUAAAUAACAAACAAGAAAGUUCUAUUUUAAAAUGUAAGAAUUAAAAUUGAACAAAGAAAGGUUUGAGUCUAAGAUUAAAUAUACUUUUAAAACAAAAUGAUAUUUUAAUUUUUUUAAAAAAAUCUCAAGUUCAGUUUUUAAAAAUAUUCUAAACUCCCUCAAUAAUUCUCUUACACUUUAAGAAAUUUAAUGUUGAAAUAAUAAGAUAACUAUUUGAAGAGAAUAGAAUUUGAAAAAUGUGUAUAACUUAACUUUACUUUGACCAAUGUUACAUAUGAUACUAUACAUAUAUACUUAUUCUUUUAACCUUUGUCCAAUGUUACAUAUGAUACUUAUUCCUUUAACCUUUGACCAAUAUUACUUAUGAUACUACGUAACUAUGUAUAUAUACUUAUUCUUUCAACAUUGAUCAAAGUGAAUAUAUUUUUACGAUAUAAAUAGCUAAUUUUGUAACUAAAUAAACAUAUUGAUUUCAUUUGAUCUGCAUGAACACGUAUACAUAAGAGAAAGUGUGUUACUAGAGUCAAAAAGCGACUAAAUAGAGUUAUAUCGAACUUGCAAUAAGUCAUGUUGAUUUUCGAUGGUGAUGCACUUAUUGAGUAUUCACUGAUAACAUUGUUGAAAAUAACUUGCAAUAAUCUAUUAAUAUAUUUAGAAAGAAAAACUUGAGUGUUGAAAAUAAUUAUAUAUAUAGAUAAUAAAUUUGAUUAUUUAAAAAAAAAAAAAAGCAAAAUAGAAUUUAAACUUCGAAAUAGGUAUCUUCACCUAAAUUCAUUAAAAAUUAAAAUCUACUUUGACCAUUAAAGUUUGACAACCAAAAAUAUCUGUUUUUUUCUAUUCAUAUACUCAGUUUCAUAAUUAAUUUAUUAAUUUUCUUUUCAGUUAAAAGUUUGAAUUUUAAAAUCAUUUACUUUGAAAUUUUCAGUUUUAUUUUGGAUUUGGUAAAUUUUUUUAUUAAAUAUAUUAUCCACUUUAUUUUUGAAAAUUAGCUUAUAUAAGUAUUAUUUCUCCUACUUAUAUAUACAUUUAAGAAAAGAGAGAGAGAAUAGAAUUUUGAAAAAUCUAAAUAUUAUGUUUUAAUAUUACUUUUGAAGAUUGUUAAGGCAUAGUUGUUAUGUUUAAGUUGAGUUGAUUUUGAUUUUGAGAUUUUAAAAUGUAAAAUUAUAUUAAAAAAUAAUAAUAAUUGUAUUAAUAGAUAUAGUUUCUUAAAAGAAAAUUAGUAUUUCGAAUUAUAAACUCAUUUUCUUAGUAUUAUAUAAUAUUAAAAAACAAUAAUAUAUAAAAUAUUUUUUAAAAAAUUUAAUUGAAUAACUUGUUUUUAAAUUGGGAAAGAGAAUGUAAAAAAUGUUAAUAGAAAUAUCGAUAAAUAUUGAUGUCAACUAAAAUAGUAAAUAAAUAUUUUUAAAAACUUUUUUACAAUAGAAUAAAAAUAUUAAUUCUCAAGAGUGGGAAAGUAUUUAAAAAAACAUUUAUGGAUAUAUGUGAAAAAGAGUUUUAUAUAUUUGGAAAUGAAAUUUAGGGUUGAAAUGAAAGAAGUAAAAAAUGGGUAAAAGAUUGUGUGGUUGAAAAGGUUGAAGUAGCCAAGUUGGUGGUAGAUGAAGUUAUCAAUAUCCACUUGGUAGAUAAGCUUAAAAGCAAUUCUUUAAUUUGUUGACUAACCAUUAUUAUCUUAUAACUUAUCACUACAAACUAUUUAAAUUAAAACAAACAACUCCCCCUAACCUAUUACUUACAACAUCUAUUUCCUUUUAGAAAAUCAAAACUUAUAAUUAAAUUAAAUUAAUCAUUUUAAAAGAAUAGGAAGAAGGUUGAAUCUUAAUUUAAAAAGUGGAGACAAACCCUUAUUAUUGUUGUCAUCUAUAUAUGUAUUCUUUUCUAAGGAUUGAUUCUUUACUAUAAAAAUAAUGGACACCUCAACUCAAUGCUUCAGUGUUGAUUUAUUUUCUAUAUAAUAUAUUACAUAAAUAAUAUCAUAUAUAGGUUAAAUUAUGAUAAUUGACCAAUAAGUGGAGAAUUGACCAUAUAUCAAUCAAUAAAUAAAUACCAAAAGGAUAAUUGAGUAAAAUAAAUUGAUAUUUGAAUCUAUUGAAAUAUUAUUUCAAUUAGAAAUUUAAAAUAUUCAAUAAAUAAAUCAUAUUAAUUUAGGGUAAAGUAAAUUUAAUUCAAAAUUAAUAAGCACUUAUUGGUCGAGAAAUCACAAUAAAUGUCGUGCCAUGACCAACUUCUAAUAUUAGUAUUUCUAAUAUUUGUCAAACACAUUGUUUUUUUCCUUUGGUCCAAAUUCAAAAUUUCCCAAUUAUUAUUUCAUUUAUUGUUUAUUAAGUUUAUAAAAAAACAUUGAAGUAAUACAUGAACAGAGCAUGUGUGAGUCAUCCAUCAUGCAAUGUAAGUACGUAGCUUAGUUUACUUAACCAAAUAAUCAAGAUCCGGAUGAUAGUUGUACCAUUUACAUAUUGUUUGAAAAUAAUAUUCAUAUAGACCUAACUUUGAUGCAUGCCAAUUGCUUAAUAAGAUUAAUGCAAUAUCUUCAACAAACUAUUUGAUGGAACAAAUUUUUUUUUGUAUCUUUUUACAUCAAGAGUGCAGCAUGGGAAAAUGGAAAAUGUUUUGUUGUAUGAAAUACAAAUAGCUAAUAGAUUUUUUUGUAUUUUUUAAAAAAAGUUUAUAAAAUAAUAAAUUAAUUUAUGCUUAGUUCAAUGUACAAUAAAAAAAAUUAGAAUGAGUUCAAUAAAGACUUUCUCGUGUGGUUCAAGAAUUUUUAAAUCAUUAAUAGUUUCACAAUUUAUAGAUAUCAAUUCUACAAUUAGCUAGCUAAUUCUUGUCAUUAUAGGCUCCACGAUUAAACAAGUUCAACUUCUCCAAAUAUCAACUUAAAUUUUUUAAUGAAACUAAUUGGGACCAAGCUAGAAUUGUUUGGUGUUGUAACCUAGAACAAAAAUUAGAUGUUACGUGAAUCGUGUGACGUUGUAACCUAGAAGAAAAAAAAUCAAAUUACUUAUUCUAAAUCGGUAUCACAUUUUUUCAAUGUUCAACUUCCCCCUAAAUUGUAAAGAGAUUUUACUUGAAGGAUAUAUUUUUACCUAUUUCCCUAAUAUCAAAUCAAAAUUUUCCAUUACGAAACCAACAACUUUUCAUUAAAAGCUAUUUUACUAUAUUCUAAAAGUCCAAAUCAUUCCAAACAACUUUCAUAAACGGUAGGGGUUUGAGAUGCUAUUUUACGAAACUUGCUUUGGUGUUCGAUACACAACCAUAAAAAAAUCUACAAUUUGAAUAAUUUAUCAUAUGAAAUAGUAUAUAAUUACUUGUAAAGAUAUCUUUUAUUUCCUUCAUAUACUUUGUUUAGUUUAAUAUAGCUCAACUAGUCACUUCCAACCUAAAACGAAUCUUAAAUGUCAAAAUAUACCAAACCUUAUGUUAGUUGAAAGAAACCAAAUUUUGGCCCUAAGGGAGAAAAAAGCAAAUGGAAUGCAUUUUUUCAUGUGUCAUGUAUGGAGGAUUGAAAAGGACUAAAGUUUUUAACUUAUAGCCAAUGUGUGUAAAGAAGAAAGGGUGUCACUUUUAUAUCAAUUGCUUUCAAAUUGUGUAUAUAAAAAGAAAAGUUAGAACCUUUUGUUUGGAAGAAGAAAGAAAAAACUAUUUUCAUGUCUAUUCUAACUUUAACUUGAAGAACUUGAAGAAGAUGUUUAUGCAAUUUUCAUUCACAAAUUUUUUGUGGGCUAAAGAUAGUAUCGUCCAUAUAUAGUUUUAGUUCAUAGUAAAAUAAUCGCUACUAAACUCAAAUUUACUUGAAAAUACAAUCACUUGAACGUUAAAGAUAAAAUUGAAAAAUAACAACUUUAUUAGAAUUUAUUAAAACAUUUCUCGACUUUCUCAACAAAAGUUGUAGUUGUUGGAAUGCCUCUUGAAUUUGGUAUGGGAUGUCACGAACAACCUCGCAACCCUAGCUCUUCUAGUUAUUGUAAUUGAGCACAUAUAUUUAUUUAUGAGUUAUUUACGGAUUUUGACCAUAGGGUUGUGCUAUAUACACAAACUCUUUAAUCUAGUGACGCUAUAUUGUUUAAUGAAAAAAAUUCUCCUUAAAUUGUUCUCCUUCUACCUCAUGACCAUAGUUAACAUACUUUUAAUGAGCCACACAAAUCUCUACGUCGGAUUUUAUACAUUUUUUAUAUUAAGCAUAAUCGAAAGUUCAAACAUUCAUAUCUCAAGAUAGAAUAUCUUUGUCAUUUAUUUUUCAAGAUAAAAUAUUAAUGUCUAUCAUGAAAUGAUCUAAAAUUUUACUUUAAUAUUAAAAGUGAACCGUAGAUCGGGUUUAACGAAACUAAAAAAAUAAUAAAUGAGGGAGAAAGGAGAGGUUUAGGGAUGACUUAGAUUUUUGUUUCAAUUAUAAUAAUAAGAAUAUAAUUGAUAUAGAAGUUGUCAAAAGUGGGCAUAUGAUUAUUUAUAUAGAUCAAGAAUGCCAUAUCAUAACCAACUACUAAUUUUAGUAUUAUUUGUUAACUUCACCAAAUUUGGCCAACACACCAUUACUUUUUUCUUUAGCUCUGAAUUUUGAUCUUCCCAAAUAUUAUUUUAUUAAAUCAAACAUUAUAAUAAAAUAAAGUUUAGACAACUAUAGUGUUGGAUUCAUGAACAUCAAUAUUAUAUGUAGAAAAAAAAAGUGUAUUUUGGAUAUCCAUGAAUAGUGAGUAUGACACAUGGCACACUUUUUGUCCUAACUUCACAUGGACUACUACAUUCAAAUUUAAUAUUUUUAAAAGUUGAAAAAUCCUUUUAAAUAGAAUUUAAUAAUUAUCUUACAAUUGUUUCGGAUAAAACUGUUAGCAUUUGGUUUGAAAAAUAGAAAAGUUCGAACUUUCUGUUUAUAUACAAAUAGAAUUAAUCAAAUUUGGGACUGUUAGUGAAGAUUUGAUUAAGUUGAGAAUUAUUUGUGAGAGUUCAUUCAAUUUCAAAGACACACUAAAACUAAUUUUAUUAUUUCAAAUUUAUACUAUCAAUUCAAACAUACUUUUAAAUAUUAUUUUUAAAAAAUUUCUAACCACAAUUCAAAAAUUGAAAAGAGAAGUUUUUUUUUUAAGAUAAAAAUAUCGUUUUAAAAGUAGUUUAAAACAAAUGACAAAUUAAAAGUAUAUUUUUGUAAUCCAAAACGAUGGAUUCAAAUCCAACGGAAACAAUUAGGGUGCGAGAAAUCGUGUGGACACAAAACAAUGAAAGUGGCUUCCCCAAAGAUCGGCGCUUCGGACGAUUACAACUGGCGGAUUCAUUCCAUUUGCCGCACCCAAUUAUUCACCGACACGUAAUCCAUGCUGUAUCCAACUCAGCAACCUUUGGUAGGUCCCAUGUUUAUUAAGUUUUGUUAUUAAUAGUAUUGGCUGAAGACUUCGGGCUGAGUACGUGGCUGAAAAUCAUGCUUACAGUGUAAAUUCCACGUCAACAUUUUUGUUUAUUAUUGAAAUUAAAAUAUAUUUGAUAGGUCAAUAUCAGAUGUAUUAUUUAUUUAUGAUAUUGUUGUCAAUGAAUUGUUUCAUUCUAUCGUCAAUGCUAUUUUUCUUCUUGGAAAAAUAAUAUAUUUUUUGCCCAAUUUUUCUCUUAGGUUCUGUUUGAUGGAAAAGUAAGAAAAUUUUGAGUUUGAUUAUAUGUGAUGUUCAAAUUUUACAAAGUUAAUGUUUUUUAAUUUAUAUUUUAUAUCGAUUGACUUGUAGUUUCUAUAAUUCUUUAAUUUAGUCCUACUAAAUUAAUUUUAAUUAAAAUGGGUGAAAUAGUAAUAUUAUUGAUUUUCUUUAAAAAAAAUAAAGGAUAUGUGAAUAUGUUUUAAAAAGGUAAUAUUAAUAGAUAAUAUUUUUAAAAAUAAUAAUAAUAAUAAAUUAACAGUAAAAACUAAAUCUAAAAUAAGGAGUAAAACUGAAUAUAUGAAAAAGUACACAUGAAUUGGUACCUAAGCUUAGAAGAAAAAUAAAAUUGUUAUUUUAGAGAUUUUAUAGUCAAUAAGGGAAAAGAUAACGAAUUAAGAAAGAUUAGAUUGCACCUAAAAUAGAAAUUUAUGGGAAAGUUUUCUUGAAACCUAAUGGAAAAGAAGAAGAAGAAGAAGAAACUAUAUAUUUAUAUAUAUUCUAAAAAAAUACAUUAUCCCUCUUUUCUUUGGACAUUAUAAUAGGAUCAAACUGUUUAUUAUAUAGAAAGUAGAAAGAUCAACAUUUGUAUGGUUCAAAAUUAGAAUUAAUUAACAAGGUAAGUUAAUAAAAUAAUAGACAAAUAAGUCAAGAAAAUAGACAUUAUUAUAGAAUGAAUUAAUUAAACAAGGUAAGUUAAUAAAAUAAUUACAUGAGUUAUUUAUAUAUAUAUGAUUAUUGGGCAUGUUAUCUUAGCAAUAAUGGAAGCACAACACAUAUCGGCAUAAGGGUUUGCAAGUCUCUUAGUCAAAUGCAUGUAUAUGAUCAUUGAGCAACCACUGCAUGAAAUGUUUAGUAGAGACAUUAAGUGAAAGAGAUUUGAAAACUUUAAUACACGAGAGUAGUGAGAGAGUAGCGCAAUUAGCGUUCAAGUACUAUGAUAACCACUUAUAUAUGAAAUAUUGAUCUUUUGGUUUAAUUUUCAACGUUCUAUAUAGUAUUGAACAUGUUAUUUUAUAAGAAAUUUGAAUAAAAUAAUUAUAAGACAAUCUCCUCCACCUCCUCCCAUAAUCAUACCAUAGUCGUUGGACUAUCAAGCUUCACAAUGAUCGAGCAAGAAAUUAAACAAUAGCCCUGAAUUAACUCAUCAACUGUAGUAGAUAUAUUUUGGCUGGUUAAGAGGCUUGUUUCAAUCAACUAUAUUAUGGACCAAAAAGUCACAUUUUUCCCCACUAGGGAUUAAUUGUAUGUUCCACAAUGAAGUUGAAAGAAUAACUAUGGGACAUCAACAUGACUGACAAUUUGAUUCAAUAUUGGGCCAACUUAUUAGAUUAAUAGACCUGCUUGAAUAACGAUGUGCAUGCAUGCAAAGAUUGUGCUACCACAAUUUUAGAACCUCGCGUACAAGUCAUUCUCGACAUUUUUGGGACAACGACAUUGCUUGAAAGUCUUUUGCUAUAGUCUAAGAGCCAACGUCACUCUAACUGACAAUUUUUAUGGGUGUUAUGGGUCUGAGUUGCUAUUCAACCUAACUUACUUCAAACCUAAAUGUAUCACCACAAGAAAGAUGUGGUUUGUGUAAGUUAUCAUAUAGAAUAGCAUAUAAUCAUGUCAUUUACUUCUUUCAAAUAUUGUCGAAUAAAAUUUAGAAAAAAAAAAAAACAUUUUGCUCAAAUUUGAUGGAACUAGAAAAUAGCAUCCAAAAAAGAAAAAGAGGAAAAAGAUGAAGGUAUUUUGUGUCUUACUUAUAAAUCCAUAAAUUCCGAAUAUAGAGCAAAGGGAGUAAUGUUUAGAUGUGAAAUUGAUUUUAGAUCUAUAAUCAAUAGAAACGUUACUAAACAUGAUCAAAAUUAGAUCCAUAGUAUAACUAAGAAAGAAUGUAAUGUAACGUCAAGAGAACGGUAACAACUUUGAUGAAAAGUUGAAGAGAAAAGUAAUGAAAUGUUAUUUCAUUUUACGCUUACCACGAUUACUUGGACAACGCCAUAGUAGGUAUGGAAAAAGAUUUUACAACCACUACAACCACAAUUUGAAAUCUUACACAAAAAUCGUGGUAAAUAAAUCCACCAUAAACAAAUCAAAAUAUUCGAAUGUGAGACGACAAUUAGUGUUUUUGACAUGAGUCAAAACCACGAGUUAUUUUCCAACAAUUUGGAUGGAUGAUAAAUUAAUUUAAGUUAUUAUUCUACCUAACUUGCUUGAAUGUACAAUAAAGAAACGCAUAUGUGGUUGGUGUAAUUUAUCAUAUAAAUUAAUAUAAUUCCUAAAGUUACUCUCAACCUAAAAAUAAUGUGAAUAUCAAAAUGCAUCUAACCUUUUCUUGAGUGAAAUCUAGUUGAAAUUAGAAAGAAAAUUUAGUAAAAGAAAUAAUAAAAUAAAGAAAAAUUAAAGGAUGACAUUUUUCAUGUGUCAUAUAUGGAGGAGGAGAGUGACAUGAGGUUUUAGCUUUUUCCAAUUUGUAUGAAGAAAAAAUGUGUUGUUUUUAUACAUUGCAUUAAAAUUGUCUUAAAGCAAUGUUGGGCCAACUUUCUAAGUUUGUAAUACAUCAUCUAAUCGUAACUUCAUUUUCUUAUUUUUUGUAUUAGAAUUCUUUUCACAUAUAUUAACAAAACUCAAUCUUCCCCUUUUAUCUCUAUUUAAUAUACUUUUUACAAUUAAUAAACUUUAUUUUACAACUCUACAUCCUAAAGUUACUAUAAAAAAAUUGUCUUAAUAAGAUAUCUUAAGCGUUACACACGACACUUCUUAAUGUAAGAAAUAUAUCGAUACAUCUUUACAAAAAAUAAUAAAAUUGGAGUAAACAUGAGAAUUUUAAAACAUAUUCGAGGGAAGAAAAGAAAUGAAUGGACGUAGGAGGAAAGAGGGUGUGGUUCGUGGGGUUCGAAAAGUGGAAUGAGUCACGGCCACGUAAGCUGAUUGUGUUUCCAACUCAGAAUCCUUAUCAGUGGUCCCACGCCUUGGGUUGCUUUCUGUUUUGUAUUAAAUACAUUCAUUAAACAAUGUAGUUGAAGUCGAGUACGUGGCUCAAAAUAUGCUACAAAUAUAACCUGGCUUCCACGUCAACAUUUUUUUUAUUAAUUUAUAUGAUAAAAUUAUUGAAAAUACAUUCACUUAUUUCUUUUUUGUUGAAACAUAAAAUAUACUUCAUAAACUUGGCAUGUAUUAGGAUAUUGUUUUAACCAAUUAUUUCAUCCCAUAUUAUUUUAUACAAUUUCCCUUUAAAUAAUAAAUAUUUUUUUUCAAAAAUAAAAAAAAAUGCAUAAAAUUUAUUACACUUAUAUUUUACUCAUUAUUGUUUUUAUCUUUUUUUUCUCUUACUUUUUUUAGUAACUUUGUUUUCUAUUUUAUUUUACCUACUCUGUUUUUUUAAUUUUUUCCAACAAAUGUAAUCAAACUUGUUUACUUUUAUUCAAAUAUAUAUUCUAAUUUAUACCAUUUUAAUAAAUAUUAAAUUUAGUCUACGUAACACCAAUAAGUUAUCUUUUUACAAAGACUAUUAAUACAGAAACUAAAACAAUACUUUACCCUAAAUAUAUGGAAACAAAGGGAAAGGACAGAGAUGGCAAAUAAAUUUUUAUUUUGAAUUAUUUUCGGGAAUUAAGGAAUAUUGUACACAAAAGUAGAAAUUAUGGUAAAGUUUUCUUGAAAUAUAAUGAAAGUUUAUAAUGUUAGCUUAUUAAUAUAUAUUGUUAAAUAAAAAGAAACCUUAUCAUCUUUGCUUUAGACAUUAUAUAAUAUUCAAUAUAGUAGAAAAGGGCAACAUUUUUAUAUUACAAAGUUAUAGCCAACACGCCAAGUUAUUAGAGUAAUUGACAAAUGAGUAAAGAAAGUAGAAUUAAAAAGUCACAUCUAAUAUAUAAAAUAUGAGUUUACAAAAGACUAUGUGUCUAUCGGUACGAACUAUAAAUUUGUUGUUGUUAUUGUUUUUUUCUCUUAGUUUAACGAUUGUAUAUUUUUUUUAAGAUUAUGAUUAUUUUGUUUUUUCAACUAAGCUAUACUCCAAAUUGUAGAUCUGGUUUGGUAUCUAAAUUCACAAUUACAUAAAUUUUGGGUCACCACAUGAUUACAAGAGUUUCGUAAGUCCUUUAGUCACAUGUAUAUGAUUGGCGAUAUCUAAGAUAAGAAUCCUAAUUGUUCUCAAACAUUUGCACUUUGUAAGGUCUUUUGAUUAACUUCAUGAAAACAGCUCAUGCAGAUAACCUAUCUUGGAUAUAUCUAAACUUUACAUAUCUACUUAUAGUAUUAAACAUGAUCAGUUCUAUGAAAUCAGCAUAUGCAUAUAAACUAGCUUGGAUAUACACAAUAUCUACAUAUCAGAUAUCUAUAUAGUAUCGAGCAUGUUAAGAAACUUUAGAAUCUUUUCAAUAAACUUUAAUACAUGUAUAAAAAAAUCACAUACAUAUUAAAAAUUAGGUUAGCUUAACAGUGAUUAACAUAAUCUUCUAUCCUAAAGGUGAAAAGUUCAAAUCUCCCAACUCCCAAUGGCUAUACUAAAAAUCACACUGCCUCCCUCGUGGGAUUGUUAAAUGGAAUGGUUUGUACUAGAAAGCUCACAUGGGAGCUAAAGGAACAAUGGGCCAAGAUUGAAAUUUUCAUUUCAAUAAUGGGCCAACUGCAUCUCUCUUUAUAGGUAGCAUUAAAACUUCAUGAAUGUUGUACCACGAAUAGUUUACACACGUUUAUUAAUCACCAAGUGAGCGAGGAAUUUUAUCCAUCAAAGUUGAUAGUACAAGGUGAAGUGAAAAUUUUAUAGAUCGAGAAGAAUUCAUAAACAGUUUUUAAAGUCUGUCAACCUUGUAAAAUUGAUCUAAGUUCAAACAGUCUAGACAAUAAUUGAUGCCAAAAAUAGAGAAAGUGAGAUGCACAUGUAUCAAUGAAUUUAAAAGGAAAAAGACAAUAGCAUCAGCAUUAGCAUAGUAGAUUCAUUGAAAUAAUUGUUAAAUUAAUGGGUGUUUCAUAGAGUUUGAGUUAAAUUGAAUGAGUUACAUUAGAGGGCCACAUAGAAGGUUAAGGGAAAAUGAGCCACCCAUGGCUGACAAUUUGAUUCACUAUAGGGCUAACUGCAUAUCUCGUAUGGGGUAUGGUUAGCAUUAAAAUCUAAAGAUAUUCUCUAAAUUUCCUCAAAGAUUAAGAUUAAGGAAACAACAAAAUAUUUCUUGAGCCUUUCUAGUUUUUGCUGGGAUACUUAUUUACAAUCUACAAAAGAAUUCUAGAAAGAACUAAUAUACAUACGUCUGCUUAGAUUCUUCAAGAAACUUCUAGAAAAAGUAUCGUCUUCUAUUUUAACAAAGAUUAUGUGUGAAAUGUGAUGUGGAGCUAAUGUUUCAAGGUCUGGAGACUCACUUCGAUUUGAAACAAAAGAGUCGGGCUUUUAACAACUUUCACACACUCACUCAAUACUAAGAGAGCCACUUUCAUCCACCAUAUGUAACCUUUGUCAUUGAGAACUUAAUUUCAAAUUCCUUCGAAUUUUUCUAGUACAACAAUGGCAGGUAUGAGAUUGAACCUCAAGCCAUGCUCAAACUUUUUCUAGUAGUUUUGGAUUAUGGUGAUAGAAGAACUAGAGGGACUUGGAAGCAAAUGAAAUUAGUAUAAGGUUUGGGGCAGGGUAAUUAAAACUGUCACCAAAGAAUUUUGUUUCCAUGGCAAUGAGGCUUCUUUCCGGGAGUUGUAUCUGUUUUGUGUUUGAUUGAGGCAAUGUUUAUAUGGCUUGGAUGGAGGCAUUGAUAGUCCAAUUAUUUCUAGACUUGUGGUAUAAUGACAUUCUUCAACCUAAGCACUAAAAACUAAAAAGCAAUGCUCAUAUUUUGAUGAUGCUUCAAAACAAAAUAUAAGGAUAUAGACCAGAUCCUGCAUACACAACUAUUUCCAUAAUCUUUCAAUGAAGUAUAUAUCAGCCAAAACAAAUAGAACCACACAAAUCCUAUAACUGCAAAAGAGAUACGAAAUUGAGAAAAAGCACAGUGAAAUUCACAACAAAAUACAUCAAGUUCAACAAUGACCUAACAAAACUUCAAACGAUCAUUGGUUAUAAUAGAAAUGUGGACUAAGGUAUCAUGUAGUAACAACUCAACAACCCUCCCCAGUUCUUCAAUUUUUCUAAAAUAAAAAUGACAAUGGCAGGCCAAAAUUCUAAUAUUGUUCUCCGUAAUAACUAAUUGAGUUUUGUUCAAGUUGGCUAUCCAAUUGCAAAAUUUUGUUCCCAUCGAAAAGCAUCAAUCUUAUAUCGGUUCAUAUUUAGAUAAGUAUGGAGAUUCAACUCCAACCGAAGCAUUAAAAAAAAUUGUGAAUCGAGCAAAUAAUAUUCUUUCAUAGUAUCCUAAUAAAUGAAGAAAAUGCACACAGGACAACACGUAUAAACAAAAAUCAAUAUCGAAUAUGAUUACAAAUCAAAAUCAAAAUCAAAAUAAUCCGUCAUUAGGGCAGCAUAGAAGGCUACCACAUUACCAUUGCAUAUCAUAAACACAUACAACGAACAAAUUCAACACAACACCAGCAAUAACGGAAAAAAAAAAAAAGAAAAAAAGGAAGAUUCGAAAGAAAAAAAAUAAAAAUACGUAAUUAAUAAAGAAAAGAAAUGCACAUUAGAUCUAUAAAUUUGGACGAUUGAUCACACGGGAAGAUCGACAAACCCGUCAUGUUGGUCAGGAAGUAGAAUUUGAUCGGAAAGCGGUUGAGUGGACAAAAGAAGGUGGUCGUCGUCGUCGUCGUCGUCGUCAAGCUCAUUGGUGGCAACAUGGACGCAGGAGAAUCGUUCUAAGGAGGAGAAAAAGGCGGAAGACAUGGUAGCCGCAACCCAAGCGGCGACCUGGUCGAGCUUCUCCCGUGAAAGGAUACUGAGGGCAUUGUUGUCGGUGUUUUCCAUCCGAUCUGAGCAAAGCUUUUCCGAGGAGAUUAGAUUAAAAUUGCCGGUUGAAGAAAUGAAUUGGAAAUUUUGGAGAUGAUUUUAGUGAUUUGAAAGAGGAAUUGGGAGAUGAAAUGGAGAGUUCAAUCUCAAACCUAGGGCUCAAUGAAUUUCAAAUACAUUAAAAAACAAAUUCCUCUUUAACUUUUUUUUUUUUUUAAAUACCUCGUGACAAUUUAAGAAUAUAAUAUCUAAAGUGUAUUAUAUUACUUUUAUGUGAUCAUUAGAAAAAGUAUAAUUAUCAAAAAUAGCAAAUAGGAAAUUCGAUAAAUAUUUAUAAG
This 85512-nucleotide long non-coding RNA is filed under the name Cucumis sativus (cucumber). RNAcentral describes it as "long non-coding RNA (CSAT_LNC001757)". Lineage: Eukaryota; Viridiplantae; Streptophyta; Magnoliopsida; Cucurbitales; Cucurbitaceae. The record is from RNAcentral.